RNAcentral lists this long non-coding RNA (65845 nucleotides) under Lupinus angustifolius (narrow-leaved blue lupine). Its description in RNAcentral is "long non-coding RNA (LANG_LNC000136)". Lineage: Eukaryota; Viridiplantae; Streptophyta; Magnoliopsida; Fabales; Fabaceae. The record is from RNAcentral.
UGAAGGACCCAAUGGAGGAUCAAUUGGAAAGGUCACUAUUAACAUUCAAACCAAAGGAGAUGCUCAACCCAAUGAAGAAGAGGGAAAGGCUGCCAAGGCAAGAGGUGAUGCUUUUUUCAAGGCCAUUGAGAGUUACCUUUCUGCCCAUCCUGAGUACAACUAAAUUGAAUUCUAUCACUGAAGAAGAGUUUCCUUAUAUAAAGUUCUCUUCCAUGUUAUGCAUCUUGUGCUUUUAAGUUUGCCUUUAUGUAAUGAUUAAUAAGUGCUCUUCUAUUCUCUUUCCUUUUUUAUGCAAAAGUGUGAGAUUAUGUGGAUUUGUAUUCCAUUUCAUCAAUAAAUCAAUACAAAAAAUUACAAGGACCUUCGUAAUCAUGAUGGUUAAAAUCGAAAUUUUACUUAAAAUUAGGAUGGAGUCAAAUAUCAUAAAUGUAUGAUCAUAACACGAUUCAUAAGAUUUUACUUAUUAAUAUAUAUAUAUAAACUCAUAUAGUAAAAAAUCUCAUAUUACAACCCAAUCCUUAUUUUUUGAUAUAGUUGCUGAAUAGGAUAAAUUAGUAAAAUGAUCAAUAUUUUAAAGAAUAAAACUAAAAUUUUAAAAAAUUUCAUAUAACAACCCAAUUUCUUUUUGAUAUGCUAGCUAAAUAAAAUAAAUUAAUGAAAUAAUCAUUAUUUUAAAGAAUAAAACUAAGAUGGUAAAAAAGUCCAUAUUACAGUACAUUCCUAAAUAACCCACAUUUUAAAGAAUAAAAAGAUUGCAAAAUACACAUAUUACAUUCUACCCAAACCUUAUUUUUCCUAGGGUUGCCAAUUACGGUUCCUAACUUUUCCCUCCGGUCGUUUUCAUUCCUCCUUUCAUUUCAAGCAUGUCAUGGUUGCUAUAUGAUGGAUCUCAUGACGAGAACAAGAAGGUUCGAUGUUUUUUUGCUCCAUGUUUCUAUCUUUCUACUUCAUUUAUGCAUCUUAUGAAUCAAUAAAAGAAGUUUGCUGAAUUGAGAGGGAGGGAGAUGGAAAAAGUUGGAAGAGAAGAUUGAGUAUAAGAUCAAUGGGAUCAUGAAUUCAACCGAUCAUACAUUCCAACAUGGUGAUCUCACACGAUCUCGGGGAAACAUGCCCAAAACUGAGAUAGGUUUAUUCCAUGUAAUAUAAUUUUCUUCCAUGUUAUAUCUAGUUUGUGUUUUUAUGUUGGCUUCCUAUGUAAUGAUCAAUAAGUGCUCUUCUCUUUCCUUUGUCAUAUUCCAUGAGUUUGUAUUUCAUUUCAUCAAUAAAUUAAUAAAAAAAUUACAAACAUUAUCUCACUGGUUAAAAGAUUUUAUAUAUUAUUUCAUAUAAGGNAAGAUGGAUGGGAUCAUGAAUUCAAUUGAUCCCACUUUCCAACAUGGUGAUCUCACACGAUCUCGGGGAAACAUGCCCAAAACUGAGAUAGGUUUAUUCCAUGUAAUAUAAUUUUCUUCCAUGUUAUAUCUAGUUUGUGUUUUUAUGUUUGCUUUCUAUGUAAUGAUCAAUAAGUGCUCUUCUCUUUCCUUUGUCACAUUCCAUGUGUUUGUAUCUCAUUUCAUCAAUAAAUUAAUAAGAAAAUUACAAACAUCAUCUCACUGGUUAAAAGAUUUUAUAUUUUAUUUCAUAUAAGGAAAAUCAAAUUUAAGCUAGACAUGAAGAAACAUGAAUACUUGAAUAUUGGAGUUUUUAUUUUUCAUAAGAUAAAUGUGAAAAUAACUCCAAUAUGAAAAGAAGUAAUGUUAUUUGAGAAUACUAAACAAGUUUGUUAUAUAUACAAGAAGGGGGAGCUAACUCACAUAGUCAUGUUGCCAUAUAAGGAUUUAAGAUGUUUAAAAACAUUUUUAUAUGUGAAAAAUAAAAAAAACAACUAUGUAUUGUAUUUAAAAGUAGUAUGUAAAAUUUUAAAUAGUUUUAAUGCAUUUAAUGUUUGAUAGCAAAGAACUGAAUAAGUUUAUUUUAGAAUGUUCUAAAAUAAAUAUACUAGUUUUUACAUUGUCAAUUCAUCAUCAACUAUUUAUAUUCAAUAAUAUUAUUGACUUUUAAAUAUAAGUAGUAAAAAUAAGUAGUUAUAUAUUAACUUUAUAUAUUGACAAUGUAUAAAUAUUCCAUUCAUAUAUUAUUUGAUAUGACAUUUAUAUUGGUUAGUUUUUUCUCAUAUAUUUCCUCACUAUUCAUCAAAUUAUACGACCGGGCAAUAAUGAAUUGCUACGCUGAAUAAGGCUUCUGGAAUUGAAUAUUUAUUCUUUGAAAACUCAAAUCCACCUUCUUUGACCAACGCUUGAAAUUCUUUACACAAGACUAAAAGCUCUACUUUGAUUUUCAAUCAUAUUUCAUCCAAUCAUACGUGACUAAUGGAACACGGGAAUCAGAGGUUAGAGAAAAAAUUAUAGAAACCUUUUCACCAAACAAUCACCUAUUAAAAAAUUAUAAUCAUUGCCCAAAUGUUGUAAAAACUGGUUCAUACCAACUGGUUCAACGAGUAAGCUGGUUCAACGAGUAAGCUGGUUCAACAGGUAAACUGGUGAAUCGGUCCCUAUAUUCGUAUGGUAUAAUAAUUAUAUCUAUCAUACAAUCAUACUGGCCAAAACGUGCAAAACUGAUCGGUUUUCAAUUGAACUGUACCAGUCAUACCUGCCAGUUUUAUUUAAAAUUAAUUUUUUAAUGAAAAUAAAAAAUUAUUGGUUUCUUAUUGAUUUUUCAACAUUAAUGUUAAUAUAUUAUAUAUGUAUAUUUAAUUUCGCUGAUAUGCAGUUUAAUUAGUUAACCACCGAUUGAACCGUUAUAUCACUAUACUGGUACCCUAACCAAUUUGGUGACCGGUAUGAUAUUAAUAACACUGCCUAAUUUAAAGCAUUAACGUUGCAUUCAUAUGAUUAAGAACACGUAUGUUACUCGUGCAUUGACAUGGUUAAAAAUACACAUGUUACAUGUUUAUUCUCAUUCACAUGUUACAUGUUUAUUCACAUUGCUAAUAAAACACAUGUUACUCGUGCAUUCAUAUGUUAAAACACACAUGUUACCGUUAAGAACACAUUUGUUACAUGUGUAUUUUUCUGUUCAAACACAUAAGGAAAAUAAAUAACAAUUUCAAAUUUGAAUCUUUUAUUGAAAAUAGGAAAUCGAAACAUGAUACUAUAUGAUUUUUUUUUAAAUAAAUGUUUUAAAAGUUGUAGAAAUAAAAUGAAUUUUUCAAUAAAAAUAUAGAAAUCAAAUCAUGAUACUAUAUGAGUAUUUUUUAUUAAAAAAAUAUUUAAAAGUUAUAAAAAACUUCAAUUUUGAAUUUGAUUAUUUAACUAUAAUAGAGAAAAAUUAAAAUUUAAAGAAUUUGAACUGUGAUAUUAAAAUUCAGUCGGAAAAGUGUCACAAAGCUUUGAUAUGAUGAAAAAUAUAAUAAUUCUUAGAGUAUUGAUAAAUGUUAAAUAAUAUAUAUAGAUUAAUACAAAUAUUAAAUGAGGUGAAACUGUAUAGAUUUUUUAAUUAAAAUUAAAUAAUUACAUAAGUGAAUGUGAAAUGAUUAUAUUAAGGUUUUGUUACCAAAAUUGUGAUCAUAAGAUUUACAUGCUUGUGCAUCCUACUGUUCUUCCAUCAAGAUUUAUACGAAGUUACACACUUACACCCUCAUGUCGGAGAUGAAGAGGUAAGGAUGAGAUUAAGGAAUAGUGGAAAGACAAAGAGGUAAUAGUAGAACUGAUGAAAUGGAAAAGAGAAAUAGUAUGGAUGUGAAAAAAGAUUUCAAUUCACUCUAAUGUUCGAUGAUCAAUACUUUUUAAGAUAAUAAAACAUAUGGGUCAAUCACUAAUUAGCAUUAAAACAUUAAAAUAUAAAAUGUACAAAAAGUGAGGAUGUAGUAUAAAAAUAUACAUAGUAGUAACAUAUAACCUUUUAGAAGGGAAAAAAGUGAGGAGGAAGUGAUAUAUGACUUGAAUGAGUUUUUUAUUAUAUAGUUAAUAGAUUAUGUUGCAAAAGCUAUAUAUACUAGUACCUGGUCAAAUUUUGUACAAAGUAAUAAUAUAUUGUUUAUUUUAUAUAACAUAUACCAAUAUAUUUACAAAUUACAACAUAUAUAUCAAAAUAAUGGCUCCUGAGUGUACAUCUCGUCCCUUUUGUUGACAAUGGGUAGAUAUUGUCCCCAAUAGACAAAUGAAAAGGAUAGGUGGCUAACAACCUCUAUAGUCAGCACCUAUUCACAUACAAGAAGAGAUGCCUACAAAUACAAGGGACUCCUUUGCCCAUAAAUCACACAACAAUCAUUCUAACAUCUUCUUCUUAUAUAUCUUUCCAUUAUUCUUCCUCCUUUUUGCUAAUUAGUUUCUAAGCAUGGGUGUUUUUACAUUUGAGAAUGAAUCCACUUCUACUGUGGCUCCUGCUAGGCUCUACAAAGCUUUGGUAACAGAUGCUGACACCAUCAUCCCAAAAGCUGUUGAAGCCAUCCAAAGUGUUGAAACCGUUGAGGGUAAUGGUGGCCCUGGAACCAUUAAGAAGCUUACUUUGAUUGAGGGUUAGUAUAUUAUAUCUUCUUCAUACAUAAAAUAUAUGGUCAUGGCAUAUCAUUACACAUGAGAAAUUUUAGUUUUCCUUCCGCGUUUGUGAUGCUAUUUUUACCCACGCUAAAUUUUUAUUACAUAAAAGCAAACAUUUAUAGAACAAGAUCUAUGUUUUGUUUAACUGUAUAUUUAUUAUAUCAAUGAAAUCUAUGAAUUACUAAACCAAUUAAGCUGAUGAUGUUUAUGGAUAUGAUAAUCAUAUUGGGCAGGUGGGGAAACCAAGUAUGUGUUACACAAAAUAGAGACAAUUGAUGAGGCCAAUUUGGGAUAUAACUACAGCAUAGUUGGUGGAGUUGGAUUGCCAGAUACAGUGGAGAAGAUAUCAAUUGAGACCAAAUUGGUUGAAGGAGCCAAUGGAGGAUCAAUUGGAAAGGUCACUAUCAAGAUUGAAACCAAAGGAGAUGCUCAACCCAAUGAAGAAGAAGGCAAGGCUGCCAAAGCAAGAGGAGAUGCUUUUUUCAAGGCCAUUGAGAGUUACCUUUCAGCCAAUCCUGAUUACAACUAAACUCAACUCUAUUAUUGAAGAAGAGCUCCCUUAUAUAAUGUUUUCUUCCAUGUUAUCCGGUUUGUGCUUUUAAGUUUGAUUCAUAUGUAAUGAGUAAUAAGUGUUCUUCUCUUCUCUUUCCCUUUUUUGCAAAAGUGUGAAAUUCCAUGAGCUUGUAUUUCACUUCUUCAAUAAAUUAAUACAAAAGAAAUUAAAAAGCACCAUCUUAGCAUAAAUAUGAUUAUUUGAAAGAUUUAUAUAUUUUAUUGCAUAUAUCUAAAAUUAUGUUUAAACUGGACAUGAAGAAAUAUGAAUUCUUGAAAGUUUAAGUUUUUAUUUUUAUUUUUUUAUAAGAUAAACGUGAAAAUAAUUGCAAUAUAAAAAGACUUAAUGUUAUUUAAUUUGGAAGUACUGAACUAGUUUGUUGUAUACAUUAAUAUAUACAAGAACAUAGAGCUACACUCACAUACUCAAAAACAUUUUUAUACGUCAAAAGGACAUGAGAGAAUUAUAUCUUGUAUUCAAAAGUAGUAAGAAUAUUUUUCUACAAUAGAUUUUAACAGGGUGGAAAUAAGAAGGAAAGAAGACUUAAUUAAUGGAUAUCGAUGCUAUAAGAAAACUUCAUACCAAUUAAUCUUUUAUCCUAUCCCACCAUUGUUUUUAUACAGGGUAUUAUUAAAUUUGGACUAAUCAAUGACUUGAUUAGGGAAUUAAGUCAAUUAGUUAUUGGUUGGACCAUCAAAUCAUUUGGACAUGUUGACUUAGUUUUCUUAAAAAAACUAAAAUAUCAUAAUAAUAGUUAACAUUAUUUAAUAACUAUAUACCCAAAAUAUAAAAAACAUUAUUAUAACUAUUAAAUAGUUAACAAAGAAGAUUUUACUACUACCAAAUGCUCAAAUAAGUUGGAAAUGUCCUGAAACAAAAUGUGUUAUGCUUUUUUUUGGGGUCCAAAUGUGUGUUUUGCUUUUUUUUGGAGUGCAAAUGUGUGCUAUGCUUUAAUAUAACAAAAGUGGACAAUAAGUAUAAAUUUAAUUAAACAAUCAAAGUUUUGCUAACACAUAAGUCAUUAAAUGACAACCAUAAUUAUAAAUAAGUUUAAAAUAUUUGAUCUUUUUUCAUCUCAGUACAACAUAGUUUUGAUUGUUUUUAAAAUUUUUUUAUUGAUUUGUUCGAUUCAACCAGUCCGACCAUCUAAACUUAUUUUAGGCUUAAAUCGUCCGAGUCGAACUGAGUCAAUCUGAUUUUUAUUCAAAACCAGUUAUAAAAGAGACUUGGACUGGUUAGAUGUUCAUUUCAUGGCUGAAAUAGUCGAACUAACCGAUCAAAGCCGAAUUUUGUAACUCUUUUUAUAUCAAUGAAUGCUUCACUAAGUAUUUGUUUAAUAUACAUGAAACUGUGUAGUUUUUGUUUAUUUUAAAAAAAUAUGUUUAAAUUGUGACAUACCUAAAUUAUAAACUCAAUUUAAUUUUUUUUAUAGAAAAAGCUAAAAAUUGAAGCUCCCUACCAUGAUUUGCUUAUUUCAAAAUUGACUUACUUUUUUUAUUUAUUGAAAUGUCAAUUCUUUUUUUUUUGAAGGUGCAAAAACACCAAGGAUUUAUAUAAAUUAAGGAUGAAACAUACAAGAAGAACCAAGAGGUUACAAGUUUCUAAAACGGUAGUUAGGUAGGCCUAACAUAUUCCUACCAUAUUCUAACCUUAGAAAGCUAGGAAGAAUAUUCCACCAAAGAUUUGAGCUAUGGUGUAUGCCAUGAUUAGCUAAGAUGUCAGUGCAAGUAUUCCCUUCUCUAUAGAUAUGCGAUAUCCUGAAGUUCAUGGUUGAUAACUUGACCUUGCAAUUUAACCAUUUGUUCAAUAAGGGCCAAGGAGCAGAGGCUUUGUUGUUGAAAAUAUCCACUACAAGAGAAGAGUCACAUUCUAACCAAAGAUUAUUCCAACCCUUAUCGAAGGCUAUGCCCACAUCAAGAAUGGCAGAACUUAGCUCGGCAUAGAUAGCCAAUUGAAUACCAAUGAAAGAGUUAAAACUCUCCAUGAAGUUACCGGAGGAAUCCCUGAAUAAACCACCCCCACUUGCUCUCCCCGGAAAUGUCAAUUCUCAUUUUACCCUUAUUUUUAGUGUUAUCUCUCUUCUUAUUUUCCCUUCAAUCAAACUCCAUAAUAUAAAUUUGUGCCUAUGUUAUUUUAAAUGUUUAUAUCAAUUAUUAUUUUCAUCUUUUAAACAUUUGUCAUGAAGUAAUAAAAAUUAAAAAAAUAUUAUCAUAAUAUAAAAAAUGUAUACAUAAAAUUUAUUUGUUCUUUAGUAAUAUAUAUGAUAAUAAAUAUUUAAAAAUAUAUAAAAAAGAACCAAAGCAAUCACAAUAUAAAAACAACAUUAGAUAUAUAUUUUUUUUGUAAUUUGCUUUAUAAAAAAUAAUGUUUCUACAUCGCCCAAACAAAAUUGAUUAGCUUAUAUUAGCUUUUAAGUAUGUGUUAUUUAAAAUCAGGCUUGAACAAUAUGUAACUACGUUUGAACUUUUAUGUAACUUCACAGCCCUUAUACAAUAAUGCAUUUAAUCUUUGAUUGCGAUGAGCUCUAUGUAUUAGUUUAUUUUAAAAUGUUCUAAAAUAUUAUUUUCGAUGCAUUUACAUGGGUUUGAUUUGUCACAUAGUUCAUCAUUAUUAAUCAAAUUAUACGAAGUCGGCAAUAAUGCUAAGCUAAUGAAUACAGCUUCUGGAACGGAAAUUUAUCCUUUGAAAAGUCAAAUCCACCUUCUUUGACCAUCGCUUGAAAUUAGACCAAAAGCUAUACUUUUGCUUUUAAAACCAAUUAAGCAGCCGAACAAGUAUUUCCAAUCGGAUUAUGUAUGAUUUCAUCAUUAUAUUCAUAAUAUCUUCUUAGGACUCUUUAGACUAUUUCACAUCAAUAUUCCAUCCACUAAAGUUUAAGUUAAGAUCCUUGACUCUAUAUCUUAUUGUUGGGGCCAAUCCAAUUUAUAUAGUUGAUUUUCAUUAAUCUAAUAACUAUAGUUGUAAAAUUGGUUCUUGACUUUUAUUUUUACAUUCUUUUUAACUAUUAUUCGUACUUGAUUAAUAUUGAAAGUAACUUUUUAUUUUUUAACAAAAAAACAUGAUAACUGCAAUUAAGUUAAAAAAAUCAUGAUAUAUUAUGAAGACUCAUUUAGAAACAAACCUUCAUCAUCUUCAUGUCAAAACUGUAUUACUCUUGAAAACAAAGUUACAACAUUAAAUCUUGAACUUAGUAAGAUAAGUAAGAGCAGUAAAAGUUUAAAUAGAAUCAUCAAUUAUCAACGACACUCAACAGACCGAAGAGGUCUUGGCUAUUCAAAAGGCCACGUUUCUAAGAAACCUAGUGUCCCAAUUAAGAUAAACUUUCACAAAGGAAGUAUCCUUGAUCAUAAACAUAAUAAUGAUAGAACUAGGAUACAUAACCAUCAACUCACAUGCACAUAUUGUAAACAUCACGGGCAUAGACCAAACACUUGCAAAAUUAGAAAAUAUGGUGUACCCCUUGGUCAUUAUAAAUGGAUUGAGAAAAGUGCUAACCAUAUAGGACCCAAAGAAAAUUGGGUACCUAAUAAAACUUAACAUGUUUUGCAAGAUAAUUUGGGAGCCACCUGCAACCUAUGGUAUUUGGAUAGCAGCUGCUCAAAACACAUGACGGGCGACAUAUCAAAAUUCUCUGUCCUUACUCCAAGGGACAAAGGAUAUGUCACAUAUGGUGAUAAUAACAAAGGAAGAAUUCUUGGAGUUGGUAGAAUUGGUAAGCCUNNNNNNNNNNNNNNNNNNNNNNNNNNNNNNNNNNNNNNNNNNNNNNNNNNNNNNNNNNNNNNNNNNNNNNNNNNNNNNNNNNNNNNNNNNNNNNNNNNNNCAAACCAAAGCAUAUGGUUUCUUCUGAUAGACCAUUACAACUACUACAUAUGGACUUGUUUGGCCCUCAAGGACAAAAAUUUAUGGUGGUAACUACUAUGCCCUCGUUAUAAUAGAUGAUUUUUCAAGAUACACUUGGACUCUAUUCUUAGUGCAUAAGAAUGAGGCAUUCGAAGGCUUUAGCAUUUAUGCUAAAAGAGUACAAAAUAAAAAAUCACUUAAAAUCGCUGCUAUAAGAAAUGAUUAUGGGGAGAAUUUCAAAACUCUUCUUUUGAAUAAUUCUGUGAUGAUCUUGGUAUCAAUCACAACUUUUCUGCUCCUAGAACANNNNNNNNNNNNNNNNNNNNNNNNNNNNNNNNNNNNNNNNNNNNNNNNNNNNNNNNNNNNNNNNNNNNNNNNNNNNNNNNNNNNNNNNNNNNNNNNNNNNUCUGGGCAGAUGCAGUAAGUACUGCUUGUUAUGUUUCGAACCGAGUUCUCAUAAGACCUAUUCUCAAGAAAACCCCCUAUGAACUCUUUAAAGGUAGAAAACCAAACAUUUCUCAUUUGCAUGUAUUUGGUUGUAAAUGUUUUGUUUUAAAUAAUGGAAAUGAUAACUUGGGUAAGUUUGAUGCAAAAGCAGAUGAAGACAUCUUCCUAGGCUACUCUCUUAUGAGUAAAGCUUACAGAAUUUUUAAUAAAAGAACACAAGCCAUGGAAGAAUUCAUUCAUGUAUUUUUUGAUGAAACCAAUGCUGAGAUAAAAGAUAUGAUAACCCUUGAUGAGGAGGAACUGUCAAGUUCUUCUUCAAAUGAAAUUUCUAUUAUUGAAUCUACAAUUGAUACUGAGCAAUUGAAAAUGAAUGAUAACUUACCAUCUCAAGAGGAGCAUACUCAUUAAGAUUUACCAAAAGAAUGGAGAACUCAUCGAUACCAUCCAAUUGACAAUAUUAUUACUGAAUUAAAUAUGUGCAUCACAACCCGACGAAUGCUUGAUAAAGCUUGUCUUAACAUGGCAUUCGUCUCUCAAAUCGAACCCAUCAAGAUUGAUGAAGCAAUUGAGGAUGAACACUGGAUUCUUGCUAUGGAAGAAGAAUUAAACCAGUUUGAGAGAAACAAAGUUUGGGAACUUGUUCCCAGACCUAAAAAUAGGCAUGUUAUUAGAACUCGGUAGGUAUUUAGAACUAAAUCUGAUGAAAAUGGUAUAAUAGUUAGAAAUAAAGCUAGACUAGUAGCCCAAGGAUACAAACAGGAAGAAGAUAUCGAUUUUGAUGAAACUUUUGCUCUGAUUGCUAGACUUGAAGCUAUUAGGCUAUUACUUGCAUAUGCUUGCUAUUUGAAUUUUCAGUUAUAUCAAAUGGAUGUAAAGAGUGAUUUUCUCAAUGGCUACAUUCAAGAAGAAGUGUUUGUUGAACACCCUCCUGGUUUUGAAGAUUACACCCUCUCUAUAGCUUAAAGCAAGCUCCUCGCGCAUGGUAUGAUCGUCUAACUAAAUUUCUACUUGAAAAGGUUUCAACAAAGGAAAGGUUGACACUACUCUCUUCAUAAAGAAAAUAAAUAAUCAUACUUUACUUGUUCAAAUUUAUGUAGAUGAUAUUACUUUCGGUUCUACUAAUGAGUUGUUAUGUAGUGAUUUUGGCAAUAUGAUGCCAAGAGAGUUUGAAAUGUCUAUGAUGGGGAAGUUAAAUUACUUCCUUGGAUUACAAAUCAAACAACUUGACAAUGGUAUUUUUGUAAGUCAAUCUAAAUAUUGCAAAGAUUUUCUAAAAAGAUUUGACAUGGACGGAUGCAAGCAAAUAACUACUCUUAUGAGAUCUGGAACUUACAUCGAUAUGGAUGAAGCAGGAAAACCCAUCGAGAUAUUAAAGUAUCGAGGUAUGAUUGGAUCUCUUUUAUACUUAACUGCCAGUAGACCUGAUAUCAUGUUUAGUGUGUGUAUGUGCGCUCGCUAUCAAUCCAAACCAAAAGAAUCACACUUAGUUGUUGUUAAGAUAAUCAUGAAAUAUCUUAAAGGCACAAUUAAUGUCGGACUGUGAUAUCCAAAGGAAAGUAUAUGUGACUUGGUUGGAUAUCCAUAUUCAAAUUUUGUAGGAUGCAAAACUGAGAGGAAAAGUACAAGUGGUACUUGUCAUAUUUUAGAGAAUGCUCUAGUUUUGUUGGUCAUGUAAGAAACAAGCAUGUGUAGCCCUAAGCACUGCUGAAGCUGAAUAUAUUGCAACAGGUAGUUGUUGCGCCCAAGUGUUGUGGAUUAAGCAACAAUUACGAGAUUAUGGUUUAGAUUUGGUUUGCACUCCUCUAAAGUGUCACAAAACUAGUGCAAUAAACUUCACAAAGAAUCCGGUUAUGCAUUCAAGAAGAAAACACAUUGAUAUAAGGCAUCAUUUCAUUAGGGACCAAUGUCCCAAAGAAUGAUGUGUCUGUAGAAUUUGUUGAUACUCAUAACCAACUAGCAGAUAUAUAUAUGUAUUUUUACAUUUUUUUUACUUUUUCAAACUCAUCUUCCCCACUCAACUCAGGCUGUCUCCUACUCAACCCUCUCAAAUCCUAAAAUCUUCGUUUUUGAUCCGUUUUAAGUGAUUUUUGUGUCUAUUCUUAUCACAUUUUCACUCCUAAACACUUUUAAACCUUCAUUUUCGUAUUUAGUAACCUAAAUCAAAAACCCCCAAAUCUCCAAAACCUCAAAACCUCAAACUUCAAAACCAAAAAUCAAUGGCUUCAUCUUUAAAAACCAAGAAGCAACACACCUCCACUACUCAAAAGAGGCGAGGAACUACUUCUAUUGAGUCCAACCCUCUGGAUUUGACAAAGCUUCUAGCUAAUUAGGAACAACGCAAAGUGUUUGAAGAACACUUCCAUGGACGCACUAUUUUCACUCCAAAAUUCGUGUUUCUACAAAUGGUGAAACAUAGGUGCCUCUAAAUCUUUGAGAAAGCCAAAUUGAUGUGGAAGUGAUCCAUAAAAUGUGUUUCAUCCAAGACCCUCGAACCUGCACCUUCAACCAUAGAACCGACAAGCCGACUAUUGCUGCUGAACCAUCUGAAUCUGAAGCUCCUAACCCUCCUGAACCACAACCGUUUGAGUUUCAUGGUCAAUCGUCGUCAUCUACUCCCAUGCCUACGAACCAAAUGAUUAUGGAUGAGUUGUUUUCUCUCCGAGGCUACAUCACUAACCGGAUGGAUGGCCUCACCUCUCCGAAUCAACAAAUCCAAUAUGAACUUCAUUGCCUCUUCUCUAGGAUGGAUAGCAUGGUUAUUGAUGAAGACAAUUCGGAGCCUGAGUCUUAGAAUAUUUUUUGUUAGGAUCUUCUGGUUGUAUUAUUUUCAAAAUUUGGACAAAGUUUUAAUUCUGAUUAUUUAUUGUUUUUAAAGAUAUUGCUGCAUAUUCCUGGACAAGUUACUUUAUGAUGUUUUGUGUAUAAUUGUUCCAUGCCUGGAUUCAUAUUUGAAACAUCUUAUUUAUACAUUGCAAUACUUUCUUAUCUAUAUCUUAAUCCAUACAUGAGUAUAUGAUAUCAUAUUGAUAUAUCUUGAUUAUAUAAGUGUAUGUAUGCUAUAUAUAUUGUGCUGGAAUCUCUUUGCUUUUCUACUUUUUGAUGAAGUCAAAAGGGGGAGAAAAGUUGGGGGAAGUGUAUUUUCUGUCAAAUUAUUUCAGGUACAUUACUCCAAAAGAAAGGGGAGCAUACAAGAUAGGGGGCAUACUCAAGUCAAACUUCAACAUAUCUCAAAGUAUGCUGCUCUCAAGAAAACUACACUGUCAAAAGAUCUUGGUUUGUCAUCAUCAAAAAGUGGGAGAUUGUGAAGAUGAUCUUUGCUCCUGACCUCGGCAAGAUUUUGAUGAAGACACCAACAUCACCAAAAAUAAGAAAAGGAAUAUUACUUAUGAAGACCAAGAAGAUUAAAGCUUCAAGAAAAUUAGUCUAAGUCUAAUUAAGUACUUGUAUCAUAUACUCUUUAAUAUACUAAAGUAGUAAUGGUCAAAAUAUUUUAAAAGAAAUUGAAACACUUCAAGUUUUAAAUGAAAACAUUUUUCAAAAUAAUGUGUAACAAGUUACUGAAAUUUGAGUAAUAGGUUACUGAAAUUUGAGUAAUAAGUUACAUGAGUUAGAAUCAGUUAUCCAACAAUAUUUAAAUUGGAGUAACCGAUUACUCAAAUUUGAGUAACUGAUUACUCUAAGUGAAUUUUGAAUUCAGUGUUGGACAAAGAGUUUGAGUUACCGAUUAUUCAAUGUAAUUUUUCAAAAUUUCACGUUUGGGUAACUGAUUACCCACUUAUUGUAAUCGAUUAUUGAGAGCUGUUACAUCAGUUUUUCAGAUUUGAAACUCAAGGGUUUUUAUCCCAAACAAAAUGCGUUCAUUUCAAACAAUUUCUAUUCUUUCAUAAAGGCACAAUGACCGGGCAAUAAUGAAUUGCUACGCUGAAUAAGGCUUCUGGAAUUGAAUAUUUAUUCUUUGAAAACUCAAAUCCACCUUCUUUGACCAACGCUUGAAAUUCUUUACACAAGACUAAAAGCUCUACUUUAAUUUUCAAUCAUAUUUCAUACAAUCAUAAGUGACCAAUGGAACACGGGAAUCAAAGGUUAGAGAAAAAAUUAUAGAAACCUUUUCACCAAACAAUAAACUAUUAAAAAAUUAGAGAAAAAAUUAUAGAAACCUUUUCACCAAACAAUCACCUAUUAAAAAAUUAUAAUCAUUGCCCAGAGUGUUGUAAAAACUGGUUUAUACUGACUGGUUCAACGAGUAAGCUGGUUCAACAGGUAAAUUGGUGAAUCGAUCCCUAUAUCUGUGUGGUAUAAUAAUUAUAUCUAUCAUACUAUCAUACUGGUCAAAACGUGCAAAAUUGAUCGGUUUUCAAUUGAACUAUACUGGUCAUAUCUGCCAGUUUUAUUUAAAAAUAAUUUUUUAAUGAAAAUAAAAAAUUAUUGGUCUCUUAUUGAUUUUUCAACAUUAAUGUUAAUAUAUUAUAUAUUUAUAUUUAAUUUCACUGAUAUGCGGUUUAAUUAGUUAACUACCGGUUGAAUCGUUAUGUCACUAUACUGGUACCCUAACCGACUUGGUGAAUAUUAAUAACACUGCCUACUUUAAAGCAUUAAUGUUUUUCAUUUCCUUUCAAAUAACAGAACGUUGUAUUAAUAGUUAAAUAAUAAAUAAAAAUGGAACGGUUUGUGCCUGUUUAUAAAUAUUAGUUAGUAUUUCGUGGAAUAAAUGAGUUUUUCUUUAAUUUUAUUUAUUUAUUCAAUUAUUUAGUAGUUAAUAAUUAUUUAUUGGUCAAAAAAUUUAUCAUGUUUGUAAAGAGUAUAAUGUGAUAUAAGAUAUAUUUUUAUUGUAAUCCAUCAUAAUUUAGUAAGAGAUUUAAGAGUAAAAUGGUAAAUACAUGCAUUUAUUUGAAUGUAAAAACUUAGAGAUUAAAAAAACUGUCGAAAAUAAAAAGAUCUAUAACUAGCCUUUAGACGUGGCAUGGAAUUUUGUGAUUUCUAAUUUUAUAAAAGUUAUUUACCAGUCAUAUAAUUACUUGUUUUAAUUUGGUCAUUCAAAUUAAAUAAAAUUCAAUAGUACAUAUUAAUUGUUCUCAAUUUUUUAAUUGACAAGUACUCUAACAGGAGUCACCUCCUAUAUAUAUCAAACUAGCAAGUUAUUUGUGCAUUUGUCGGGACAAUAUUUUUUUGCUGCAUGAUUAAGAAAACAUAUAUUACAUGUGCAUUCAUAUGAUUAAGAANNNNNNNNNNNNNNNNNNNNNNNNNNNNNNNNNNNNNNNNNNNNNNNNNNNNNNNNNNNNNNNNNNNNNNNNNNNNNNNNNNNNNNNNNNNNNNNNNNNNCACAUGAAUCAACAUCUUUUAAUUGAGAAUAAAGACUCACAGUCAGAGAGAAUGUUUAGACCAACUCAACACGUCCAUGUAUGCAUUGGGCCUGUGUGAUUCCAAUAACUCGACAAUUAUUCCCAAGACUCAAUGACAGUAUAUGAAUUUAGGUAUUGUUAGAUGAUGAUUAUUGUUUUUGGUUGUGUGAUUUUUAGUGGGAUGAUUUUGGAUUGUUGUAUGAAAGGUAAUGUUGAGGGUAAAAAAUGAUUGAUGAAUGAAUUUGUUUGAUUGUUGUGUAUAGGAGAUUUUGAUGUUGGUGUGGAUGAGAGAUUUUGUGGUUGUUGUGGAUGAGAGAUUUUGUGUAUGGAAGAUGAUAUUUAGGGAGAUUAUGGAUCAGUUAGGAAAGAAAUGGUAUGAGCAUUUUUGGCUUUUUUCUCCACCGUCUCUUAAGGGGAAGACCCCAUCUAUUUAUAGCCAAAGCCAUAUGAACACCAAUUAAUUCCUAGGAGAACAUUAAGGGAUUAUGAUUUUUUUUCUAAUUCUCAAUCUGAUUUUUAUCACACUUAAAUGCAAGUUUUAAUAGCCAAAUUUUCAUACUCAAUCAAUGUAUUUAAUUCCAGCACAUGGCCAAAUUGCAAAAAAAAUCAAUCAACACCCAAAUUUUUUCAAAAUUCAAAUCUAUGAAAAUGGAUUAAAUAUAUGUCAUUAUGAUGGAUCGUUCAUUAAAUAUCCAUAUCUCCUUUAUCUCUUUAUCUUCUAGAAAUAAUUUUCUUUGGAAUCAAUUGAAAUAAAAUUCAUUAAGUGCUAAUGAAUUCAUUUAUUUGAUUUGAUUACCCCUUUUUCUAACAAAAGUCAAUUCAUGGAAUCUAAUCGGAUUCACAUAAAAUAUAUAUUUGAGUUGAUGAAAUUUGUAUAAAAAAUAUUUAUUGAAAAUUUGGUUUUUUUUUUUGAAGUAUUUUUGGGUCGGACAAAAUUGGAUAUUCACAGCUGUCCCUCUUUACCUGUUGCUUAUUGGACAUAACUCAAACUGAAGUUUGAGGAGUUGUCCUGAUAAGUAAUAGGUAAAGAAAUGAAUACUAAUUUUGUUAAGGCUCAGAAAAGGGCCAUUAGGACAGGUGCCGAAUUUGAUGAAGCAGGUCGAUGCUCUGCUGGUGGAGCAGGGAUUUGUUGAGGCAAUUCCCACGUUUGCCAUGAUGAACUAGGGAUUUGUUGAGGCACCCAUGCUGCCAAACAAUUCAGGGAUUUGCUGAGACACCCAUGAUGCCAAAACGAUUCAGGGAUUUGUAGAGGCACCCAUGCUGCCAAAACGAUCAGGGAUUUGUUGAGACACCCAUGCUGCCGAAACGAUUCAGGGAUUUGNNNNNNNNNNNNNNNNNNNNNNNNNNNNNNNNNNNNNNNNNNNNNNNNNNNNNNNNNNNNNNNNNNNNNNNNNNNNNNNNNNNNNNNNNNNNNNNNNNNNUUUGGUUUGUUUGUUUAUGUUUAUUAGAGAAAUGAUGUAGAGAUACAUGUUUGAAUGUUUUGCAAUGAAAUGACUUGUUUAUGUUUAUUGGAAGAAUAGUGUAGGGAUGCAUGUUUGAAUGUUUGGUUAUAUAAAAUGCACUAUUUUGUUUGUUUGUUUUUAUUAGAAGAAUAAUACGUGGAUGCAUGUUUGAAUGUUUGGUUAUAUGCAAUGCAAUAUUUUUUUUUGUUUUUUUGUUUUCUUUGUGCUUAUAGGAGAAUGAUUUGAAUAUGCAUGUAUGAAUGCCUAAUUAUAUGUAAUGAAUGACUAUGCCAUAUUUUUUGUUUGUGCUAUAAUGAUUGGUAUAUGAAUGUGACUAUGCAUUGAAAAAUAUAGUUAUGCUUUAAUGUAUGUAUGUCAUGUAUGACAUGAGUACUUUAUAUUUUGUUUGAAUGAGUAAGAUAUGUGCACAAAUGUUCUAAUGCAUCACUUAAGGUUCAGUUUUUUUUUUUUAUCUUGUGUAUGAAAUUCAUCAAAUUUUGUAGACUCAACUGAAGUGGUCCUUGUUCUUGAUGUUGAUUGGUACCAUCAAAAUCUGCCCCAGUUUACUUGAAGAUGUCUUUCCUUUAAGGUGAUCCCUAAACCGCUUCACUAUGAUCCUGUGGACAAUGACUAAACCAAACUAUUUUGCCCGAGUGCAGGUUUGCAUAAAAUUUCUCUCAAAAGUGUUGAUGCUUUUUGUAACAGCAAAAAUUGCCCUAGUGUGCAUGUUAUGAACUCUUGUAGGCAUCUGUCGGGAAUUCUCUCAUUAGGAUCUCAAGUCACCUUCAUAGGUUUUCGACUUAGGAUCAUUCACCUUUUUCUAGGUUGCCCAUGUGGGUUUUCAACCUAACACUCUUUUGUUUUCUUUUGUUUUUGUUUUUUUUUCUUUUCUUUGAACACCCCUGGAUGUCUUGGCUCGAUGGGAAGUAGAAGCCUUGAACAAUGAGUCGGUCUUUCUUCAAUAUGCUUGAAAAUCGAAGAUUUUUCUUGUGUUUGAUUGAGAGAUUUUAACUUCUUGUGAUUGAUUCAACUAAUACAAUCAUGAGAAAUCACUUAUGCAUUGCUCCAGUUUUGGACUCCUUUUAAUUUUUCACAAGAAAAUUAGAUCAACCCAAAAACUGCCCCAGUUUUGGCUUCUUCUGACUUUCCACUAGAAAAUGUGAUCAACACCAAAAUUUGCCACAGUUUGGUCUUCUUGUGACUUUCCACUACCCCAGUGUGAGAUAAUCUGAGUCAUUCUUAUCCAUAUUGAUUUGGUAAGCUUAGAUUGUCAAGUCCUAGGCCAUGAAUCAUCUUAAAAUAUGCCCCAGUUUGAGAAGCUUCCAAUUUUCCAUUGCCUUUAUUGCUCUUUAUUUCAUGCAUAACUUUUUUCUAAAACAAUGAUCAUGCAAAUUUUGGUAAGUGUUUGGGCUAUGAGUGGUGAUGUGGUAGUGAUGAUAAGAUUUGGGUUUGGCUUGGAUAGUUAUGGUGGUGAUGAUGAUAAAAUUCAAUUUAGGUUUGGCUAAUGUAAAUAUGAUGGUGGCUAUGAUAGAAUUGAAUUUGUCUUUGGCUUUAAGAGUGAUGAUGAAGGUAUGAAGGAUACAUGGUUGAUAUUUGAUUUGUGUUUGGGUUUGUGUUGAUAUGAUGAUGAUAAUAAUGAAUGUUAACUUAUGCAUUAAAAAUGAGAUAUUUUAUCGAAAUUUUACGAGACUUGUGGAGUCAGCAUUUUUUUGGGUAUUAAUGCAUAUCUUAGGCAAAUAAGUCUUCAACAAGGUAUUUUUAGACUUGUAUCAUGGCUAGGCUAAGGUUUUUCAAGAAAAGGAUAUAAGGCUCAAAAUUUGUGUUUCCCUUACCCACCAUUCACCUUUCUUCUUUAUCCUACUUUCAACAUUUUUCAAACAUGACAUUCAACUAUUAAGAGAAUUUUUCAGGUUUUGAUAAGGAUGGCCUAUGAUUAAGGCGAUAAUUUUUUCAUGAAGGGUUCCUUUUGUGAUCCUUGAUAUUGCACUUUUGCCCUAACUUUUGCCUGAGGUAUUAAUUGAGGAUUCUCAGCGGUUUUUUUUAUUUUUUUUGGCAAAGAACGUUCUUUGUAUUUUUCUUUUCUUCCGGUCACAUGAUUGAUGUAAAAGGAACUCUAUAAGUUUAUUUUUAAAUGUUCUAAAAAUUAUGAUAAAGAUAUAUAUAUAAAGUUUUUUAUACUACCAAUUCAUCAUCAACCAUUUAUAUUUAAUUAUAAUAUUGAUUUUUAAAUAUACAUAAUACAAAUGAAUAGUAAAUAAUAUAUUCUCUAUUCAUAAAUGUUUCUGUUUCCACUGAAUAUUUCAUUCUAUAUUAUUCCAUAUGACAUUUAUAUGGGUUCGUUUUCUGGCAUAUAGUUCCUCACUAUUCAUCAAAUUAUACGACCCAGCAAUAAUGAAUUGCUACGCUGAAUAAGGCUUCUAGAAUUGAAUAUUUAUCCUUUAAAUCCACCUUCUUUGACCAACGCUUGAAAUUCUUUACACAAGACGAAAAGCUCUACUUUUUUUCAACCAUAUUCAUACGUGACUAAUGGAACACGGGAAUCAGAGGUUAGAGAAAAACAUUAUAGAAAUUUUUUCACCAAACAAUCACCUAUUAAAAAUUUAUAGUCAUUGCCUAAUUUAAAGCAUUAUGUUUUUCAUUUCCUUCCAAAUAACAGACUGUGUAUUAAUAAUUUUAUCAAAUAAAAUGGAACCGUUUGUGCCUGUUUAUAAAUUUUAGUUAGUAUUGCGCGGAAUGCAUGUGUUUUUCUUUGAUAUUAUUAUUUAUUCAAUUAUUUAGUAGUUAAUAAUUAUUUAUUGAUCAAAAGUUGUAUAUUGUUUGUAAAAAGUAUAAUGUGAUAUAUCAUAUUUUUUAUUGUAAUCCAUCAUAAUUUAGUAAGAGAUUUAAGAUUAAAAUGGUAAGUACAUGCAUUUAUUUGAAUGUAAAAACUUAGAGAUUAUAAAAACUGUCGUACCUUUAGAUGUAGCAUGGAUUUUUGUGAUUUCUAAUUUUACAAAAAUUAGUUAUUGGUCAUAGGAUCACUUCUUUUAAUCUUGAUUAUUCAAAUAAAAUCCAUAUAUAUAUAUUCUAGUUGGCUUUUGAAUCUGAUCCAAUUUUAGUUGAUAGGAAAUAGAUUAUCUCCUCAACAAACCAUAUUGAAGAUAUCUUCCCCUUUUUAGCUUUGAUUUAUCCCUUUUGAUAGGAAAUAGAUUAUCUCCUCAACUUGGCUUUUGCCUCACUUUCCUUCUUUUCUUCUUCAACCUUAGCCCUUAGUCUCUUUUGCUCCUCAUUGACUUGUUUAGGGCUCAGAGGGGCUAACGCUACCAUGUGACCAUGGUGUAUAAAUGAGACUUUGUUCAACUAUAUAUAUAUAUUUAUUAGAAAAUAUCAUAACUAACAAACUUUUUAUAUAACAAGAUCUAAGUUUUGUUUAACUAUAUAUUUAUUAUAUCAACAAAAUCUACAAACCAUUUAACCAAUUCAGGUGAUGAUGUUUAUGAAUGAUUGAUAAUCUUCUUGGGCAGGUGGAGAAAUCAAGUAUGUGUUACACAAAAUAGAAUCAAUUGAUGAGGCAAACUUGGGAUAUAACUACAGCAUAGUUGGGGGAGUUGGGUUUCCAGACACAGUAGAGAAGAUAUCUAUUGAAACCAAAUUUUUUGAAGGACCCAAUGAAGGAUCAAUUGGAAAGGUGACUACUAACAUUCUAACCAAAGGAGAUGCUCAACCCAAGGAAGAAGAGGGCAAGGCUGCCAAGGCAAGAGUAGAGAUGGCAAUAAAAACCGAACCCGUGGGUACCCGUCCGAACCCAACCCGAAUUUAACGGGGAAAACCCAUUGUGACUGGGUUCGGGUUUGGGUAAAACCCGAUCCCAAUUUUCGGGUUCGGGUUUGGUACAACUAAUACCCUACUCCGAACUUGCCCCAAACCCGUUAGAUAUAAUACUAGGCAUACCUAAAGUCCUAAAUUAGAAAUAGAAAUAGUCAAAUAGUAGCCUGCGUGAANNNNNNNNNNNNNNNNNNNNNNNNNNNNNNNNNNNNNNNNNNNNNNNNNNNNNNNNNNNNNNNNNNNNNNNNNNNNNNNNNNNNNNNNNNNNNNNNNNNNUAGUCUUUGUGAUGCUAUUUCUACCCAUGCUAAACUUUUAUUACAAAUAAACAAACAUUUAUAGAACAAAGUCUAAGUUUUGCUCAACUCUAUAUAUAUUUAUUAGAAAAUAGCACAACUAACAAACAUUUUACAUAACAAGAUCUAAGUUUUUUGUUUAACUGUAUAUUUAUUAUAUCAACUGUCUAAAAACCAUUUAACAAAUUAAAAUGAUGAUGUUUAUGGAUGUUUGAUAUUUUGAAUGGGCAGGUGGGGAAACCAAGUAUGUGUUACACAAAAUUGAAUCAAUUGAUGAGGCAAACUUGGGAUAUAACUACAGCAUAGUUGGGGGAGUUGGGUUGCCAGACACAGUAGAGAAGAUAUCUAUUGAAACCAAAUUAUUUGAAGGACCCAAUGGAGGANNNNNNNNNNNNNNNNNNNNNNNNNNNNNNNNNNNNNNNNNNNNNNNNNNNNNNNNNNNNNNNNNNNNNNNNNNNNNNNNNNNNNNNNNNNNNNNNNNNNCCAAUGAAGAAGAGGGAAAGGCUGCCAAGGCAAGAGGUGAUGCUUUUUUCAAGGCCAUUGAGAGUUACCUUUCUGCCCAUCCUGAGUACAACUAAAUUGAAUUCUAUUAGUGAAGAAGAGUUUCCUUAUAUAAAGUUUUCUUCCAUGUUAUCCGGUUUGUGCUUUUAAGUUUGCCUCUUAUGUAAUGAUUAAUAAGUGCUCUUCUAUUCUCUUUCCUUUUUCUACAAAAGUGUGAGAUUAUGUGAGUUUGUAUUUCAUUUCAUCAAUAAAUCAAUACAAAAAAAUUACAAGCACCUUCGUAAUCAUGAUGGUUAAAAUCGAAAUUUUACUUAAGAUUGGGAUGGAGUCAAAUAUCAUAAAUGUAUGAUCAUAACAUGAUUCAUAAGAUUUUAUUAUUAAUAUAUACAUAUAAACUCAUAUAGUAAAAAAUCUCAUAUUACAACCCAAACCUUAUUUUUUGAUAUACUUGCUUAAUAGGAUAAAUUAGUAAAAUGACCACUAUUUUAAAGAAUAAAACUACAAUUUUAAAAAAGCUCAUAUAACAACCCAAUUUNNNNNNNNNNNNNNNNNNNNNNNNNNNNNNNNNNNNNNNNNNNNNNNNNNNNNNNNNNNNNNNNNNNNNNNNNNNNNNNNNNNNNNNNNNNNNNNNNNNNUGAAAUAAUCAUUAUUUUAAAGAAUAAAACUAAGAUGGUAAAAAAGCCCAUAUUAGAGUACAUUCCUAAAUAACCCACAUUUUAAAGAAUAAAAAGAUUGCAAAAUACACAUUAUUACAUACAACCCAAACCUUAUUUUUCCUAGGGUUGCCAAUUACGGUUCCUAACUUUUCCCUCCGGUCGUUUUCAUUCCUCCUUUCAUUUCAAACAUGUCAUGGUAGCUAUAUGUUGGAUCUCAUGAUGAGAAGAAGAAGGUUCGAUGUUUUUUUGCUCCAUGUUUCUAUCUUUCUACUUCAUUUAUGCAUCUUAUGAAUUAGUAAAAGAAGUUUGUUGGAUUGAGAGGGAGGAAGAUGGAAAAAGCUGGAAGAGAAGAUUGAGUAUAAGAUCGAUGGGAUCAUGAAUUCAAUUGAUCCCACUUUCCAACAUGGUGAUCUCACACGAUCUCGGGGAAACAUGCCCAAAACUGAGAUAGGUUUAUUCCAUGUAAUAUAAUUUUCUUCCAUGUUAUAUCUAGUUUGUGUUUUUAUGUUUGCUUUCUAUGUAAUGAUCAAUAAGUGCUCUUCUCUUUCCUUUGUCACAUUCCAUGUGUUUGUAUCUCAUUUCAUCAAUAAAUUAAUAAGAAAAUUACAAACAUCAUCUCACUGGUUAAAAGAUUUUAAAUUUUAUUUCAUAUAAGGAAAAUCAAAUUUAAGCUAGACAUGAAGAAACAUGAAUACUUGAAUAUUGGAGUUUUUAUNNNNNNNNNNNNNNNNNNNNNNNNNNNNNNNNNNNNNNNNNNNNNNNNNNNNNNNNNNNNNNNNNNNNNNNNNNNNNNNNNNNNNNNNNNNNNNNNNNNNCAUAAUUUAGUAAGAGAUUUAAGAGUAAAAUGGUAAAUACAUGCAUUUAUUUGAAUGUAAAAUCUUAGAGAUUAAAAAAACUGUCGAAAAUAAAAAGAUCUAUAACUAGCCUUUAGACGUGGGAUGGAAUUUUGUGAUUUCUAAUUUCAUAAAAGUUAUUUACCGGUCAUAUAAUUACUUGUUUUAAUUUGGUCAUUCAAAUUAAAUAAAAUUCAAUAUUACAUAUUAAUUGUUCUCAAUUUUCUAAUUGACAAGUACUCUAACAUGAGUCACCUCCUAUAUAUAUCAAACUAGCAAGUGUGCAUUUGUCGGGACAAUAUUUUUUUGCUGCAUGAUUAAAAAACAUAUAUUACAUGUGCAUUCAUAUGAUUAAGAACAUGUAUGUUACUCGUGCAUNNNNNNNNNNNNNNNNNNNNNNNNNNNNNNNNNNNNNNNNNNNNNNNNNNNNNNNNNNNNNNNNNNNNNNNNNNNNNNNNNNNNNNNNNNNNNNNNNNNNAAAUACACAUGUUACAUGUUUAUUCUCAUUCACAUUUUACAUGUUUAUUCGCAUUACUAAUAAAACACAUGUUACUCGUGCAUUCAUAUGUUAAAACACACAUGUUACCGUUAAGAACGCAUUUGUUACAUGUGUAUUUUUCUAUUCAAACACAUAAGAAAAAUAAAUGACAAUUUCAAAUUUGAAUCUUUUAUUGAAAAUAGGAAAUCGAAACAUGAUACUAUAUGAUUUUUUUUAAAUAAAUGUUUUAAAAGUUGUAGAAAUAAAAUGAAUUUUUCAAUAAAAAUAUAGAAAUCAAAUCAUGAUACUAUAUGAGUAUUUUUUAUUAAAAAAAUAUUUAAAAGUUAUAAAAAACUUCAAUUUUGAAUUUGAUUAUUUAACUAUAAUAGAGAAAAAUUAAAAUUUAAAGAAUUUGAACUGUGAUAUUAAAAUUCAGUCGGAAAAGUGUCACAAAGCUUUGAUAUGAUGAAAAAUAUAAUAAUUCUUAGAGUAUUGAUAAAUGUUAAAUAAUAUAUAUAGAUUAAUACAAAUAUUAAAUGAGGUGAAACUGUAUAGAUUUUUUAAUUAAAAUUAAAUAAUUACAUAAGUGAAUGUGAAAUGAUUAUAUUAAGGUUUUGUUACCAAAAUUGUGAUCAUAAGAUUUACAUGCUUGUGCAUCCUACUGUUCUUCCAUCAAGAUUUAUACGAAGUUACACACUUACACCCUCAUGUCGGAGAUGAAGAGGUAAGGAUGAGAUUAAGGAAUAGUGGAAAGACAAAGAGGUAAUAGUAGAACUGAUGAAAUGGAAAAGAGAAAUAGUAUGGAUGUGAAAAAAGAUUUCAAUUCACUCUAAUGUUCGAUGAUCAAUACUUUUUAAGAUAAUAAAACAUAUGGGUCAAUCACUAAUUAGCAUUAAAACAUUAAAAUAUAAAAUGUACAAAAAGUGAGGAUGUAGUAUAAAAAUAUACAUAGUAGUAACAUAUAACCUUUUAGAAGGGAAAAAAGUGAGGAGGAAGUGAUAUAUGACUUGAAUGAGUUUUUUAUUAUAUAGUUAAUAGAUUAUGUUGCAAAAGCUAUAUAUACUAGUACCUGGUCAAAUUUUGUACAAAGUAAUAAUAUAUUGUUUAUUUUGUAUAACAUAUACCAAUAUAUUUACAAAUUACAACAUAUAUAUCAAAAUCAUGGCUCCUGAGUGUACAUCUCGUCCCUUUUGUUGNAGGUUAUGUUGCAAAAGCUAUAUAUACUAGUACCUGGUCAAAUUUUGUACAAAGUAAUAAUAUAUUGUUUAUUUUAUAUAACAUAUACCAAUAUAUUUACAAAUUACAACAUAUAUAUCAAAAUAAUGGCUCCUGAGUGUACAUCUCGUCCCUUUUGUUGACAAUGGGUAGAUAUUGUCCCCAAUAGACAAAUGAAAAGGAUAGGUGGCUAACAACCUCUCUAGUCAGCACCUAUUCACAUACAAGCAGAGAUGCCUACAAAUACAAGGGACUCAUUUGCUCAUAAAUCACACAACAAUCAUUCUAACAUCUUCUUCUUAUAUAUCUUUCCAUUAUUCUUCCUCCUUUUUGCUAAUUAGUUUCUAAGCAUGGGUGUUUUUACAUUUGAGAAUGAAUCCACUUCUACUGUGGCUCCUGCUAGGCUCUACAAAGCUUUGGUAACAGAUGCUGACACCAUCAUCCCAAAAGCUGUUGAAGCCAUCCAAAGUGUUGAAACCGUUGAGGGUAAUGGUGGCCCUGGAACCAUUAAGAAGCUUACUUUGAUUGAGGGUUAGUAUAUUAUAUCUUCUUCAUACAUAAAAUAUAUGGUCAUGGCAUAUCAUUACACAUGAGAAAUUUUAGUUUUCCUUCCGCGUUUGUGAUGCUAUUUUUACCCACGCUAAAUUUUUAUUACAUAAAAGCAAACAUUUAUAGAACAAGAUCUAUGUUUUGUUUAACUGUAUAUUUAUUAUAUCAAUGAAAUCUAUGAAUUACUAAACCAAUUAAGCUGAUGAUGUUUAUGGAUAUGAUAAUCAUAUUGGGCAGGUGGGGAAACCAAGUAUGUGUUACACAAAAUAGAGACAAUUGAUGAGGCCAAUUUGGGAUAUAACUACAGCAUAGUUGGUGGAGUUGGAUUGCCAGAUACAGUGGAGAAGAUAUCAAUUGAGACCAAAUUGGUUGAAGGAGCCAAUGGAGGAUCAAUUGGAAAGGUCACUAUCAAGAUUGAAACCAAAGGAGAUGCUCAACCCAAUGAAGAAGAAGGCAAGGCUGCCAAAGCAAGAGGAGAUGCUUUUUUCAAGGCCAUUGAGAGUUACCUUUCAGCCAAUCCUGAUUACAACUAAACUCAACUCUAUUAUUGAAGAAGAGCUCCCUUAUAUAAUGUUUUCUUCCAUGUUAUCCGGUUUGUGCUUUUAAGUUUGAUUCAUAUGUAAUGAGUAAUAAGUGUUCUUCUCUUCUCUUUCCCUUUUUUGCAAAAGUGUGAAAUUCCAUGAGCUUGUAUUUCACUUCUUCAAUAAAUUAAUACAAAAGAAAUUAAAAGCACCAUCUUAGCAUAAAUAUGAUUAUUUGAAAGAUUUAUAUAUUUUAUUGCAUAUAUCUAAAAUUAUGUUUAAACUGGACAUGAAGAAAUAUGAAUUCUUGAAAGUUUAAGUUUUUAUUUUUAUUUUUUUAUAAGAUAAACGUGAAAAUAAUUGCAAUAUAAAAAGACUUAAUGUUAUUUAAUUUGGAAGUACUGAACUAGUUUGUUGUAUACAUUAAUAUAUACAAGAACAUAGAGCUACACUCACAUACUCAAAAACAUUUUUAUACGUCAAAAGGACAUGAGAGAAUUAUAUCUUGUAUUCAAAAGUAGUAAGAAUAUUUUUCUACAAUAGAUUUUAACAGGGUGGAAAUAAGAAGGAAAGAAGACUUAAUUAAUGGAUAUCGAUGCUAUAAGAAAACUUCAUACCAAUUAAUCUUUUAUCCUAUCCCACCAUUGUUUUUAUACAGGGUAUUAUUAAAUUUGGACUAAUCAAUGACUUGAUUAGGGAAUUAAGUCAAUUAGUUAUUGGUUGGACCAUCAAAUCAUUUGGACAUGUUGACUUAGUUUUCUUAAAAAAACUAAAAUAUCAUAAUAAUAGUUAACAUUAUUUAAUAACUAUAUACCCAAAAUAUAAAAAACAUUAUUAUAACUAUUAAAUAGUUAACAAAGAAGAUUUUACUAUUACGAAAUGCUCAAAUAAGUUGGAAAUGUCCUGAAAAAAAAUGUGUUAUGCUUUUUUUUGGGGUCCAAAUGUGUGUUUUGCUUUUUUUUGGAGUGCAAAUGUGUGCUAUGCUUUAAUAUAACAAAAGUGGACAAUAAGUAUAAAUUUAAUUAAACAAUCAAAGUUUUGCUAACACAUAAGUCAUUAAAUGACAACCAUAAUUAUAAAUAAGUUUAAAAUAUUUGAUCUUUUUUCAUCUCAGUACAACAUAGUUUUGAUUGUUUUUUAAUUUUUUUUUAUUGAUUUGUUCGAUUCAACCAGUCCGACCAUCUAAACUUAUUUUAGGCUUAAAUCGUCCGAGUCGAACUGAGUCAAUCCGAUUUUUAUUCAAAACCAGUUAUAAAAGAGACUUGGACUGGUUAGAUGUUCAUUUCAUGGUUGAACUAGUCGAACUAACUGAUCAAAGCCGAAUUUUAUAACUCUUUUUAUAUCAAUGAAUGUUUCACUAAGUAUUUGUUUAAUAUACAUGAAACUAUGUAGUUUUUGUUUAUUUUAAAAAAAUAUGUUUAAAUUGUGACAUACCUNUUAUUCCAACCCUUAUCGAAGGCUAUGCCCACAUCAAGAAUGGCAGAACUUAGCUCGGCAUAGAUAGCCAAUUGAAUACCAAUGAAAGAGUUAAAACUCUCCAUGAACUUAGCUCGGCUUUGUAGUUUUUGUUUAUUUUAAAAAAAUAUGUUUAAAUUGUGACAUACCUAAAUUAUAAACUCAAUUUAAUUUUUUAUAGAAUGUCGCGCCCCGAUUUUCGGCUGCACAACCUCAUUAGAGUCGCCACUACAUUUUUUUCUUCAGUCAAAAAAUGUAGAAAAAUAUUUUGGCCCAAUCACAUUGGGCCUUGGACUUUGAUAUCCAGGUUCGGGAGUUGAUUACACACUAGGGAAGGUAUUAGCAUCCUAGUUGCCCGUUUGAACGGUACCCUAUUAUAUUGCAUGGAUUAUUGAUUGUGUUAUUAUUAUUUUAUUUAAUUAUAUUAUUAAUUAAUUAAUUAUUAUGAAGAAAAAAAUUUGUUUUUAUUAUUGUGCCUGACAAGAAUGACCCCGGUCCUACGUAUCCCUAUUAAGGGAAUCAAGGCUUACGUAGUUCUUUUGGUAGAAAAAAUUUAUUUGUUGGGUUGAUUUUAUUUCUUAGAAAAAUUAAAAAUUAAAAAAUUAUUUUUUAAAAUGAGUGAAGCAUAGCUCUUAUGUCCAAUACCGCAUCUCAUAUUAAAACUUAGUUAAGAAAUUACAUUUUUUAUAUUAAAAAAACUGUUUUUAAAUAUGAGUGAAGCAUAGCCCUUACGUCCGAUACUGCAUGUCAUAUCUUAAAAUUGUGGAAAUAUGGUUUCAAUAUUUUUUACAAAUACAAUAAUUAUAUGACAUAUCAUUAUCAAAUUUAUUACACAUGUAGAUGAAACAGAGCAUAGGUGAUGAACAAAAAAAAAUAGAUGUAAGAAAUUGGACUUACUUGGACACAUGAAUCAACAUCUUUUAAUUGAGAAUAAAGACUCACAGUCAGAGAGAAUGUUUAGACCAACUCAACACGUCCAUGUAUGCAUUGGGCCUGUGNNNNNNNNNNNNNNNNNNNNNNNNNNNNNNNNNNNNNNNNNNNNNNNNNNNNNNNNNNNNNNNNNNNNNNNNNNNNNNNNNNNNNNNNNNNNNNNNNNNNUUUAAAAAACAUUUUUAUAUGUGAAAAAGACUUAAAAAAACAAUUAUGUCUUGUAUUUAAAAGUAGUAUGUAAAAUUUUAAAGUAAGGGGAUCCACUUUCUCCAAGAGUAAGUUUUUUAAAUUUAUUCCACAUUCUAGCAAUCAAUUUUAGGGAAAUCCAAUGGUUUAAAUUAGUAAGUAUAUAUAAACCAUUAUAUUUCCCUAGAAUUGAUAGCUAGAAUGAGAAGUAUGUUUAAAAAACUUACUCGUGAAGGCUCACUCAAUUUUAAAUAGUUUUAGUGCAUUUAAUGUUUGAUAGCUAAGAACUCUAUAAGUUUAUUUUAGAAUAUCUAAAAUAUAAUGAGAAAAAGAUAUAUACACGAGUUUUUUAUGGUGACAAUUUAUCAAUCAUUUAUAUUCAAUAACAUUAUUGACUUUUAAAUAUAAGUAAUACAAAUGAGUAAUGAAUAAUAUAUUAUUUGUGUAUAAACUUUUAUAUUCAUGGUAAGAGUAUAUAGAUAGAGAAAAAGACGUAUACACUAACAAUGUAAGACUUUUUUUUACAUUAUCAUUACAUCAUCCACCGUUCAUUUUUAAUCAUCAUUUGCUUUUAAACAAAAGUAAUACAAAUGAAUUGUGGGGGACGCACUGACUAUGUAUAAAUCUUUACACUAUCAGUACAUAAAUAUUACACUGAUAUAAAUAUUACAUUCCUAUAUUAUUCAUAUCACAUUUAUAUGGGUUCGUUUUGUGGCAUACAGUUCCUCACUAUUCAUCAAAUUAUACGACCCUGUAAUAAUGAAUUGUUACGCUGAAUUCAGCUUCUGAUGACAACCUCAAGGGGGCUAUCUUAGAAUUAGGAUCGCUUUAUCUUGAAGUCUUGAGCUUUUUAAGUUGUAAUUCGAUUUUGGUGAAUUAUGGGGAAUUUGGGGUUGUUUUGAUAAGGAAGAAGGUGGAAAAGGAAUGAGAUGGAAGACGCCACAAGCAUGGAAGCUUGAUAAGUCAAGUGUUGCUUGCCACAAGCUUAGAAAGCUUGAUAAAAGCUCAUCAAUGGCCACGACCAAUGGCUAGGGUUUAGAAGAACUCUCAACUAAAUAAAACACAAGGUUUAACUUAAAAAUCAACAUGCUUCAUUAAUGAUAAUUCAAUUACAUGAAUAGGCAAUAUGAAUGUCUUGGGCUAAAAUAAAAGACUAAGUCCUAAUUAACUUGCAUAAUGAAAAAUCCUAAUUAAAACAUAGGCUAAAAAUAGAAAUGAAAUAAUAAUAUAACGCCAAAUUAAAUCAUGUAAAUGGUUGAAUUGUGGUGGAUUGCUCCUAUUUUUAAGGGAUUUGAAUCUGAUCCAAUUUUAGUUGAUAGGAAAUAGAUUAUCUCCUCAACAAACCAUAUUGAAGAUAUCUUCCCCUUUUUAGCUUUGAUUUAUCCCUUUUGAUAGGAAAUAGAUUAUCUCCUCAACUUGGCUUUUGCCUCACUUUCCUUCUUUUCUUCUUCAACCUUAGCCCUUAGUCUCUUUUGCUCCUCAUUGACUUGUUUAGGGCUCAGAGGGGCUAACGCUACCAUGUGACCAUGGUGUAUAAAUGAGACUUUGUUCAACUAUAUAUAUAUAUUUAUUAGAAAAUAUCAUAACUAACAAACUUUUUAUAUAACAAGAUCUAAGUUUUGUUUAACUAUAUAUUUAUUAUAUCAACAAAAUCUACAAACCAUUUAACCAAUUCAGGUGAUGAUGUUUAUGAAUGAUUGAUAAUCUUCUUGGGCAGGUGGAGAAAUCAAGUAUGUGUUACACAAAAUAGAAUCAAUUGAUGAGGCAAACUUGGGAUAUAACUACAGCAUAGUUGGGGGAGUUGGGUUUCCAGACACAGUAGAGAAGAUAUCUAUUGAAACCAAAUUUUUUGAAGGACCCAAUGGAGGAUCAAUUGGAAAGGUGACUACUAACAUUCUAACCAAAGGAGAUGCUCAACCCAAGGAAGAAGAGGGCAAGGCUGCCAAGGCAAGAGUAGAGAUGGCAAUAAAAACUGAACCCGUGGGUACCCGUCCGAACCCAACCCGAAUUUAACGGGGAAAACCCAUUGUGAUUGGGUUCGGGUUUGGGUAAAACCCGAUCCCAAUUUUCGGGUUCGGGUUCGGGUUUGGUACAACUAAUACCCUACUCCGAACUUGCCCCAAACCCGUUAGAUAUAAUACUAGGCAUACCUAAAGUCCUAAAUUAGAAAUAGAAAUAGUCAAAUAGUAGCCUGCGUGAACACCCAAAGUCUGAAACGUAAAGUCACAUUCUCUUCUCCAGCAAGGUGGCAUGCAUAGUGGCAAUCCUCAAGGUGAUUAGGUGAGUCUUUCGUGUUCAUCUUCUUUCAUUAAGUUGAAUGUUUGUGGCCCUAACUCUGAAAGUGUUGGUGAGGUGCUAAUUUCUCCAAUGGCUUCUCGUUACAGAUCUGUUUCACGGCCAGCUUUCUCUCUCAUUAAAUCCACCUUCACUAAACCCUGGAGUUUGAUAUCUUCAAUAACUUUUUGUUGUUUCUUAUCUGUAAGAAAUUUUUGCUCUUCAUGUAUAUCAUUAUAUGUUCUGUUUUACUCUUAUAUUUUGUGUCAAUCCCAUAAAUACUCAUAGCUUUGAAUGUAAAUAGCAUCUUAUCUCAUGGUUCUUCAGAAUUUUGCUUUCGGAAAAUCGGAAUCCGUUUUCAAAAUUGAAUUUUGGUAGUAGAAACAAACAAUAUGGUUUGGGGUUUGGAAAUCCUAUGCUAGCUGGUUAGUUUUUUUAUUCUCUAGCCUGGAAAAACACUGUAUUUUGUUUGUUAGUGGUUUAGGACUUUAGGUUAAGGUAAACAUUGUAAGCUUUUAUUUAUGUAAUCAAGGAGAGUUCUAUGCUGCAAUUGGAAUUUUAUUUAUUGUCAAUGCUCUAUGCUUUCGAGUUUAAGUUAUUCUGGAAGUCUCAGCUAUAUCUACCUGUGAAAUUGUAAUGCGUAAUGAAUUCAGUGAUUAAAUAUAUGUUUGCUAAUAUAUGUAAAUAUGUUUUUUUCUUCUAAUUGUUUUAUUAUUUAUCCAAUUAGGGAGAAUGAAUAUAGUAAACAGAACAUAUAUGGAUGUGGCUGGUAACCAACAUGCUUCACAAGGAAGUUUACAACAAGUAAAUGUGGAAGGCACUUCUAAUACUACACCUGAACAAUCUCAUAUUGGACAAGAUGAUAAUAUAGAAUCAACAACACAACCUACAUCAAAGAGACAUAGAAGUGUGGUGUGGGAGCAUUUUGAAAAGAUUAAANNNNNNNNNNNNNNNNNNNNNNNNNNNNNNNNNNNNNNNNNNNNNNNNNNNNNNNNNNNNNNNNNNNNNNNNNNNNNNNNNNNNNNNNNNNNNNNNNNNNCCACUUUGUAUGCACCAAAAAGCAUUUCAUAAGCCAAUUGAUCAAUAAGUUCCAUAGAAACAGUCCAUAACAGGAAGGUGUCGUAAUAAACGCUUUCUGGGCAUCCCUCUCAUUGAUCUCGAAUGCAAUCCAGGGGUUGUCAGAGAUUGCCUAGUUUGGCCUGUGAGAACUGUCCGAUCCAACAGGGUACCUCCCCAGGAAUACAAGGGACUCGUCUCACCCAGACUCUCCCUCAAGACAUUGUUGGCGAAUCACCGUCCAAUCAGUGCCGUCCCUGCUUACUUCACGGUGCUCUAAGUCAUACCGUCAAUUUCCUCUCCACUACUCCAUUAUUAACCAUAUGCAUAUGAACACUAACCGCAGUUAGGUGAUUAAAUCUUUUAAUCAUAUUUACCAUGCUCGGCCCACCUUAAGUCAUCUCCCUCAGGAAUGCUUCUUGUGGGUCCCGAUCUUACGUUAACACGUAAUAUAAAGGAAAUACAUCCCACCACUACGACCAUCACUGAAUACCCUGGACGGUCCCAGACCAAGCCUCUUACGGUCAGCCGAUCUCGCUACGUGGUAUCCUGGGUUCCUUUCUGGGCAGCGCCCUAAAUCACAUCAUAACCAAAAGGGUAACGUCCCUACCACUACGACCAUCGCUGAAUCACCCUGGACGGUCCCAGACCAAGCCACUUACGGUCAGACGAUCUCGCUCCGUGGUAUCACGUAUCCUUUUCUGGGCAUCGCCCUAAAUCAUAUAUCCUUCUCGGAUUUCUUUCUUUAAAAUAAAUUUCUGAAUUUGACUAUUUAAUUCCAACACCUUCAAUACUUUACUUUUUAUUUCAAUUACGGCGUUAUACUAAAGUAGUUUAUAUCACAUACCCUUACUAGGGUUAUUACAUACUCAACCAAUCAAUCCCAAUAGUCAAACACAUUUACUGUCUCUCGCCCAAGCGAGGACCCUUCGCUCAAGCGAAAAUUCAAUCAACAAUACCAUUUUAAAACUGGGCAUCUCUCGCUCAAGCGAGGACAAGUCGCCCAAGCGACAAUUCAUCUUUAAAUCUCAAUUAGACUGAACCUUUCCUCAUCUAGGCGAAAGUAUUAUCGCCCAAGCGAGAGGGUUCCAGAAACUCAUUAAAAUUCUGGAAUUUUUUUAUUUUUUUAUUUUUUCGCCCAAUCGAGUUUUUGCUGGCCCGGGCGGACUUUCGGUCGCCCGGGCUCACCCCGGCGACGCCUCGUUCGCCCAGGCGAAAAUCCUGAAAUUUUUUUUUUUCGCCCAAUCGGGUUUUUGCUCGCCCGGGCGGACGUUCGGUCGCCCCAGCGACGCCUGAUUCGCCCAGACUACUGGGAUCUGGCUCGCCCCGACGACGCCCUGGUCGCCCGAGCUCGCCCUGAUGACUCCUGGUUCGCCCAGACUACUGGAAUUUGGACAGAAUGCUAAUUUUUGUCAUUUUCAACAAUCAAGACACAUUCAAACAUGGUUUUUCAACCACCUGCACUCAGAAAAUUUCACAACAACAUUCAUAUACAAUAUUCAACACAUUUCAUCAACAAUCACAUAUAUUCAAAAGCAUUCAAACAUAAAAAUCUUGGGUUUCUUAAACCCAAGUUAACUCCAAAACCUUUGAGAUGGUUUAGGAGAUCCGGGUGUCAUAUUCGGACACCACUAUGUCACGAUGUGUUCUCUCUCACCUUAAUGAAGCGUGCUUUACGAAAUCCCUAUGGUUCGGUUGGGUUGCAAGGUUCAAAUGCCGGAAAUCUUCGUAACUACCAUAAUAAAACUCGUUAGUUUCCGAUAUUUCUAAAAUCGUUACCAAAAUACUUAAAACUCCAUAUUCCGAUUUAAAACAUUCUUUGAUAAUCUUACCACUUUAAAGUAAGUUAUACAAAGUAUCAUUUAAGAGUUUCAUGAGACCUUCAUGUACUCAUAAACCUCAACAUCCUUUUUAACAAAGAUUUCUAUUUUUCCAACUUGAUUCAAGCCAUGUUUUAAGGCUAAAAACAAAUAGAAAUACAUACAUUCUCAUUUUUAUAAAACACUUCCUAAAGGUUCCUUUGAUUUUAUCAUCAUCCCCUUUGGCUAAAACAACAAAAGUAUGUAAUACAACAUUAUAACAACUCUAUGAACACAAGUUGUUCAUGUUUUCAACAAAAUAUUUUUGUGAGUUCAAGAACCACAUCAUUUUCGGUUUUGAAGAGAAAAUGAGUUAUAAAGCGUUUUAGAAAAUUUCAACGGUUGAAUAUGUUCUUGACAUACUCAUGAACGACAUACUUAAAUCUCAUCAACAUCCAUUGGUUGAAUGUUGAGAGAUCAAGGAUUGAAGAUGGAAGAAGACUUGAGAAAAAUGAGAGAAAAAUGGAGAGAGUUACCUUCUCUUUGAAAAUGCAAAAGUGAGUGAGUGAAGUGUGGAGUGUGAGGGUUUAAGGAGAGAGGGAAAUCAGAUUUUCCCUAGGCAAUAAUGACAAAAUCUUCUAGGGUGGCUAAUGAGAUCAUGAGAUAUUUGAGAAAGUGAUGGGAAAUUUGCUUUAUGGAAGUCAAAUCUCUCAUUCCAAUGUGAAAUGAUCACCUUGCGGACACGCGUGAUAACCAUGUCCAAGUAUUAUCAGCCAAUACUCGAUCGGGUAUUUUAAAUCGCCCGAUCCUAAUAUCCGAUUAGAAUUUCGGAUUUCGGAAUUCCGAGUGAAAAAUAUUUAGAAAAUAGGUAUGAGUGUAUUCAGGGUCUAUACUGACUCAAAAUUAAAUUACGAAUCCAACAGCGGGAUCAGAAUUCGAUUCCGAGUUACGGAACUCAAAAAGACACGUUUGAGCCGUACCAGGCGGAUUUCGGCCCCGACAGGGGUCCAGAACCGACUGUCUCCAAAAAUUACCAAAAUUGACCAUAAAAUCAGAAAUAAAAUUUCAAGAAUAAAACUCAACUAGAGUUUUGUCUUAUUCUUCACCGAAAAUUCCCAGAAAUUCAUUUUCGAAUAUAUAAUUAAUGAAAAUAUUAGUAAAAUCUUAUAAUUCAAACUCGUAAAAUUUGCGGUGUUACAAUGAGAGUGAUGAACUUUGCAUAUGCUAAUUCAUAUGCUAAUUGCCUAAUUCAUAUGAUAACAGUGAUGCUAAAGUAUGCAUUAUUUAUGGUGACAGUGAUGCUAAAAUGUGUAUAAUACACACUGAUGUUCACUACUUAGUAUUUAUAUAUUUAUUUAUUGUCGGGUUUACCCGUCGGGUUCAGGCUACCCGAAACUCGAUGGGUUUGGGGAUGAUAUUCUUAUUUUCAACCCCGUUGAGUUUGGGUUCGGGUUCAGGUUUUACAUUUCGGGUUCAGGGUUGGGUAAGGGUAAACCCGACCCCGAUCUGCCCCGUUGUCAUUCCUAGGCAAGAGGCACUACGCCAGAAUAGCAAAACAACAGCGCUUAAAAUUGUCAUUUAACAUCGCUUUUGAGGCGCUUUCUAUGUGAGUGCAGUAGUACGUAAGGUUAUAUUUAAUAGUGUGUUUUGAAGUGCUCUAGAAAGUAGACAUUUAACAACGCUCAGUGAAGUAGACACUGUUAAAUGUCUACUUUCUAAAUAAGACAAUAUCUCUUAGAUAUUCUAUCAAACACAUGACAAUCAUGUCCAACUCCACCAUAUUUACAAUAGAUUUGUGAAAUCACCAACGACUCGAGCUACAUUCAACCUUAACAUAUUCCAAUACUAUAAAAUAACAUAUUAGUAAUGAGAUCUUACGCAAAUUGUUCAUUCUUUCUCCUUCGAUGUGCAAGUCCUUACAGAGUGUUCAUGUGUUCCUCAAUGAUUAAUGCAAGCUGCAAAUACAAAUAAAAAAUAUCAUCUCUAAACAAAUUGCAAAAGUUAUAAAAAAAUACUAAAUUAGCAGCAAUUGAUAAAGAAUAUUUACCAUUACACUCAAACCUUGUGUUCUAACUAGUGAACCAUAACCAAAAUCCUAGAACAUCAUAGCUGCAUAACUUCACAACAAAUAAAGACUUGUUAUUUAUGGUGUAAAUGCAAACAUCAAGACAGAAUCAAAAAGAAAUAAAUGAGCUAAAAUAAGAUAAUGAUUUACCUUAUAUGAAGUAUCGUCAUUAACAACGCUUUCUUCCAUAAGAUUUGUUAAAGAUAACACACCUUUAACAUCUCUUAUUGAAGAAGUGUUGUUAAAUAUAGGAAGUAUCGUCUUUAACAGUGAUUUUUUCAAUAAGCAUUGUUAAAGAUAACACACCUUUAACAACGCUUGCUUAAAUAAGCAUGGUUAAAGAUAACACCUUUAACAAUGCUUAUUGAAGAAGUGUUGUUAAAUAUAUGAAGUAUGAUCUUUAACAAAUCUUUCUUCAAUAAGAGCUGUUAAAGAUAACACAUUUAACAUUGCUUUCUUCAAUGAGCGCUAUUAAUUCUUUUCUGCCUUAUAUUUAACAACGUUCAACACAUAAGCGUUGUUAAAUACCAAUUCUGGCAUAGUGAGGUGAUAUUUUUUUCAAGGACAUUGAGAGUUACCUUUCUGUCCAUCCUGAGUACAACUAAAUUGAAUUCUAUCACUGAAGAAGAGCUUCCUUAUAUAAAGUUUCCUUCCAUGUUAUACAUCUUGUGCUUUUAAGUUUGCCUCCUAUGUAAUGAUUAAUGAUUGUUCCUCUAUUCUCUUUCCUUUUUUUAUAUGCAAAAGUGUGAGAUUAUAUGAGUUUGUAUUUCAUUUCAUCAAUAAAUUAAGACAAAAAAAUUACAAGCACCUUCACAAUCAUGACAGUUAAAAUUGAGAUUUUACUUAAGAUUGAGAUGGGUAUGGCGAAAUUAAUGCGAAAGCUUAAAAUGAAUAUUAUGGAUAUUUUUCAUUGAAUUGAUCAAGGUGUGAAAAUCCUUAUUUAUAGUGUAAACUAACUAGCUAACAAACUAAUAAACACAUGUUGUCAAAUAAUUCAACAUGUGUAAAAUGUGUAAAAUGUGGUAGCUUUAUUCUCUAAUAGCCCCCUCAAGCUGGAGGGUAAAUGUCAAUUAACUCCAGCUUGAUCAUUCCAUUUGAUAUCGUGACAAUGUAAUGGAUCGAAAUCUCGAUCCUAACGUGAAUGAAUUUUCUCAAUCACUUGAUCUUGUUGUUGUUGAUCUUAUUGAUCUUGUUAUUGUUGAUCUUGUUGUUGUUGAUCUUAUUGUUGUUGUUGAUCUUGUUGUUGCUGUUGAUCUUGUUGUUAAUCUUAUUAAUCUUGUUGUUGUUGUUGAUCUUGUACAUAUACUCCUUGAUGACACUUCUUUCUUCGACAACUUCCACUUCUCACAAAGUACAAAGGUGGUGCUGGUUUGGCACGAUCCAUAGUAGAGGCCAUAGGAAUAGAACAAGGGAAAAAAAUGUUUGAUAGAGCAUAACAGAGGAUCUUCGGACAAAUCAAAUAGAAAAUUAUUGCACGAAGUAAAAUGAUUCCAAUACUAAUUAAUGCACCUCAUAACAACAAGCUUCCAUUGAGAAAUCAUUGAAACAACUAAUAAUACAUUGUUGAAUCUGCCUAAUGCUUCAAGGGUGUUAAAUGUAGAAAGUAACAAGCCUGACUUCCAUGCACAACAAAUUUCAACUCUGGUGUCCAAACUCCUCUCUACCUCAAAUUCUUCCCCUUUUUCUUCCUUUUUUUAUUUCUUCAAAAACUUCUUCGCUUUAUGUCGAGUUGUUGACAAUGAUUCUUUGUUGAAUCUUGGAAGAUGAAGAUAAUAAUUUUAGAGAAUGUGCAACAUUGACCAAAGACUUCAAGAUGAAGGCUCUGAUACUGUAUGGCGAAAUUGUUGCGAAAGCGUAAAAUGAAUAUUAUGGAUAUUUCUCACUGAAUUGAUCAAGUCAUGAAAGGCCUUAUUUAUAGUGUAAACUAUCUAUCUAACUAACUAGCUAACAAACUAAUAAAUACAUGGUGUAAAACAAUUUAAUUUGUGUAAAAUGAGUAAAAAUGUAAAAAGUGUAAAAUGUGGUAGUUUUGUUCUCCAAUAAUGAGAGUCAUAAAUCAUAAAUGUAUGAUCAUAACACGACUUCUAAGAUCCUAGUGAUUAAUAUAUACUAGGGUUGGCAAUGGGCACAGGUAGUAGAUACCCGCUACCCGUUUCAAAAUAGGAGAGUAUUACCCAUACCCGCCCGUGUGCGGGUAUUCGUGGGUAUUUCUUGGUACCCGUGGGUACAACAGGUACCCGCGAGUUUCCUAUAUUAUAAAUGAAUUUUUAAUUUUUUACUUCUAUUAUGUUUCAAAUGAGAUGAAACUUAAUUAUUUUUAUACAUUUUGUUUGAAUAUUUGGCAAAAAUCCUAAAUUUAUUGGUGUUUUCUUUUUGUGUGAUUUUUUUUUCUCAUUUCNNNNNNNNNNNNNNNNNNNNNNNNNNNNNNNNNNNNNNNNNNNNNNNNNNNNNNNNNNNNNNNNNNNNNNNNNNNNNNNNNNNNNNNNNNNNNNNNNNNNACAAUAUUUUUUUGCUGCAUGAUUAAAAAACAUAUAUUACAUGUGCAUUCAUAUGAUUAAGAACAUGUAUGUUACUCGUGCAUUGACAUGGUUAAAAAUACACAUGUUACAUGUUUAUUCUCAUUCACAUUUUACAUGUUUAUUCGCAUUACUAAUAAAACACAUGUUACUCGUGCAUUCAUAUGUUAAAACACACAUGUUACCGUUAAGAACGCAUUUGUUACAUGUGUAUUUUUCUAUUCAAACACAUAAGAAAAAUAAAUGACAAUUUCAAAUUUGAAUCUUUUAUUGAAAAUAGGAAAUCGAAACAUGAUACUAUAUGAUUUUUUUUAAAUAAAUGUUUUAAAAGUUGUAGAAAUAAAAUGAAUUUGUCAAUUUCGAAUUUGAUUUUUUUAAUAAAAAUAGAGAAAUCAAAUCAUGAUACUAUAUGAGUCUUUUUUAUUAACAAAAUAUUUAAAAGUUAUAAAAAACUGCAAUUUUGAAUUUGAUUAUUUAACUAUAAUAGAGAAAAAUUAAAAUUUAAAGAAUUUGAACUGUGAUAUUAAAAUUCAGUCGGAAAAGUGUCACAAAGCUUUGAUAUGAUGAAAAAUAUAAUAAUUCUUAGAGUAUUGAUAAAUGUUAAAUAAUAUAUAUAGAUUAAUACAAAUAUUAAAUGAGGUGAAACUGUAUAGAUUUUUUAAUUAAAAUUAAAUAAUUACAUAAGUGAAUGUGAAAUGAUUAUAUUAAGGUUUUGUUACCAAAAUUGUGAUCAUAAGAUUUACAUGCUUGUGCAUCCUACUGUUCUUCCAUCAAGAUUUAUACGAAGUUACACACUUACACCCUCAUGUCGGAGAUGAAGAGGUAGGGAUGAGAUUAAGGAAUAGUGGAAAGACAAAGAGGUAAUAGUAGAACUGAUGAAAUGGAAAAGAGAAAUAGUAUGGAUGUGAAAAAAGAUUUCAAUUCACUCUAAUGUUCGAUGAUCAAUACUUUUUAAGAUAAUAAAACAUAUGGGUCAAUCACUAAUUAGCAUUAAAACAUUAAAAUAUAAAAUGUACAAAAAGUGAGGAUGUAGUAUAAAAAUAUACAUAGUAGUAACAUAUAACCUUUUAGAAGGGAAAAAAGUGAGGAGGAAGUGAUAUAUGACUUGAAUGAGUUUUUUAUUAUAUAGUUAAUAGAUUAUGUUGCAAAAGCUAUAUAUACUAGUACCUGGUCAAAUUUUGUACAAAGUAAUAAUAUAUUGUUUAUUUUAUAUAACAUAUACCAAUAUAUUUACAAAUUACAACAUAUAUAUCAAAAUAAUGGCUCCUGAGUGUACAUCUCGUCCCUUUUGUUGACAAUGGGUAGAUAUUGUCCCCAAUAGACAAAUGAAAAGGAUAGGUGGCUAACAACCUCUCUAGUCAGCACCUAUUCACAUACAAGCAGAGAUGCCUACAAAUACAAGGGACUCAUUUGCUCAUAAAUCACACAACAAUCAUUCUAACAUCUUCUUCUUAUAUAUCUUUCCAUUAUUCUUCCUCCUUUUUGCUAAUUAGUUUCUAAGCAUGGGUGUUUUUACAUUUGAGAAUGAAUCCACUUCUACUGUGGCUCCUGCUAGGCUCUACAAAGCUUUGGUAACAGAUGCUGACACCAUCAUCCCAAAAGCUGUUGAAGCCAUCCAAAGUGUUGAAACCGUUGAGGGUAAUGGUGGCCCUGGAACCAUUAAGAAGCUUACUUUGAUUGAGGGUUAGUAUAUUAUAUCUUCUUCAUACAUAAAAUAUAUGGUCAUGGCAUAUCAUUACACAUGAGAAAUUUUAGUUUUCCUUCCGCGUUUGUGAUGCUAUUUUUACCCACGCUAAAUUUUUAUUACAUAAAAGCAAACAUUUAUAGAACAAGAUCUAUGUUUUGUUUAACUGUAUAUUUAUUAUAUCAAUGAAAUCUAUGAAUUACUAAACCAAUUAAGCUGAUGAUGUUUAUGGAUAUGAUAAUCAUAUUGGGCAGGUGGGGAAACCAAGUAUGUGUUACACAAAAUAGAGACAAUUGAUGAGGCCAAUUUGGGAUAUAACUACAGCAUAGUUGGUGGAGUUGGAUUGCCAGAUACAGUGGAGAAGAUAUCAAUUGAGACCAAAUUGGUUGAAGGAGCCAAUGGAGGAUCAAUUGGAAAGGUCACUAUCAAGAUUGAAACCAAAGGAGAUGCUCAACCCAAUGAAGAAGAAGGCAAGGCUGCCAAAGCAAGAGGAGAUGCUUUUUUCAAGGCCAUUGAGAGUUACCUUUCAGCCAAUCCUGAUUACAACUAAACUCAACUCUAUUAUUGAAGAAGAGCUCCCUUAUAUAAUGUUUUCUUCCAUGUUAUCCGGUUUGUGCUUUUAUAAGGCAUCAUUUCAUUAGGGACCAAUGUCCAAAAGAAUGAUGUGUCUAUAUAAUUUGUUGAUACUCAUAACCAACUAGCAUAUAUAUAUAUAUAUAUAUAUAUAUAUNNNNNNNNNNNNNNNNNNNNNNNNNNNNNNNNNNNNNNNNNNNNNNNNNNNNNNNNNNNNNNNNNNNNNNNNNNNNNNNNNNNNNNNNNNNNNNNNNNNNAUAAAUGUUUUAAAAGUUGUAGAAAUAAAAUGAAUUUUUCAAUAAAAAUAUAGAAAUCAAAUCAUGAUACUAUAUGAGUAUUUUUUAUUAAAAAAAUAUUUAAAAGUUAUAAAAAACUUCAAUUUUGAAUUUGAUUAUUUAACUAUAAUAGAGAAAAAUUAAAAUUUAAAGAAUUUGAACUGUGAUAUUAAAAUUCAGUCGGAAAAGUGUCACAAAGCUUUGAUAUGAUGAAAAAUAUAAUAAUUCUUAGAGUAUUGAUAAAUGUUAAAUAAUAUAUAUAGAUUAAUACAAAUAUUAAAUGAGGUGAAACUGUAUAGAUUUUUUAAUUAAAAUUAAAUAAUUACAUAAGUGAAUGUGAAAUGAUUAUAUUAAGGUUUUGUUACCAAAAUUGUGAUCAUAAGAUUUACAUGCUUGUGCAUCCUACUGUUCUUCCAUCAAGAUUUAUACGAAGUUACACACUUACACCCUCAUGUCGGAGAUGAAGAGGUAAGGAUGAGAUUAAGGAAUAGUGGAAAGACAAAGAGGUAAUAGUAGAACUGAUGAAAUGGAAAAGAGAAAUAGUAUGGAUGUGAAAAAAGAUUUCAAUUCACUCUAAUGUUCGAUGAUCAAUACUUUUUAAGAUAAUAAAACAUAUGGGUCAAUCACUAAUUAGCAUUAAAACAUUAAAAUAUAAAAUGUACAAAAAGUGAGGAUGUAGUAUAAAAAUAUACAUAGUAGUAACAUAUAACCUUUUAGAAGGGAAAAAAGUGAGGAGGAAGUGAUAUAUGACUUGAAUGAGUUUUUUAUUAUAUAGUUAAUAGAUUAUGUUGCAAAAGCUAUAUAUACUAGUACCUGGUCAAAUUUUGUACAAAGUAAUAAUAUAUUGUUUAUUUUGUAUAACAUAUACCAAUAUAUUUACAAAUUAUAACAUAUAUAUCAAAAUGAUGGCUCCUGAGUGUGCAUCUCGUCCCUUUUGUUGACAAUGGGUAGAUAUUGUCCCCAAUAGACAAAUGAAAAGGAUAGGUGGCUAACAACCUCUAUAGUCAGCACCUAUCCACAAUGAGGCAUACAAGCAGAGGUGCCUAUAAAUACAAACACUCCAUUGCUCAUAACUCACACAACAACCAUUCCAACAUCUUCCUCUCAUAUAUCUUUGCAUUAUUCUUCCUCCUUUUGCUAAUUAAUUUUCAAGCAUGGGUGUUUUUACCUUUGAGAAUGAAUCCACCUCUACUGUGGCUCCUGCUAGGUUAUACAAAGCUUUGGUAACAGAUGCUGACAUCAUAAUCCCAAAGGCUGUUGAUACCAUCCAAAGUGUUGAAACCGUUGAGGGUAAUGGUGGACCUGGAACCAUCAAGAAACUCACUUUGGUUGAGGGUUAGUAUAUUAUUCCAUAUAUCUUCUUCAUCCAUAAGAUAUAUUAUUAUACGGGAAAAAUUUAGUUUUCUUUUAGUGUUUGAGAUACUGUUUUUAAGCAUUCCAAACUUUUAUUACAAAAAAACAAACGUUUAUAUCAUUAUAGCAUAACUAACAAAUAUUUUAUAUAAGAAGAUCUAAGUUUUGUUUAAAUGUAUAAUUAUUAUAUCAACAAAAUCUACAAACCACUUAACCAAUUAAGGUGAUAAUGUUAAUGGAUGUUUGAUAAUCUUAUUGGACAGAUGGGGAAACCAAGUAUGUGUUACACAAAAUAGAAUCAAUUGAUGAGGCAAACUUGGGAUAUAACUACAGCAUAGUUGGAGGAGUUGGGUUGCCAGACACGGUAGAGAAGAUAUCUAUUGAAACCAAAUUGUUUGAAGGACCCAAUGGAGGAUCAAUUGGAAAGGUUACUAUUAACAUUCAAACCAAAGGAGAUGCUCAACCGAAUGAAGAAGAGGGCAAGGCUGCGAAAGCAAGAGGUGAUGUUUUUUUCAAGGCCAUUGAGAGUUACCUUUCUGCCCAUCCUGAGUACAACUAAAUUGACUUCUAUCACUGAAGAAGAGCUUCCUUUUAUAAAGUUUACUUCCAUGUUAUACAUCUUGUGCUUUUAAGUUUGCCUCCUAUGUAAUGAUUAAUAAGUGCUCUUCUAUUCUCUCUUUUUUAUUAUGCAAAAGUGUGAGAUUAUAUGAGUUUGUAUUUCAUUUCGUCAAUAAAUUAAUACAACAAAAUUACAAGCAUCUUCACAAUCAUGGCAGUUAAAGUCGACAUUUUACUUAAAAUUGGGAUGAGAGUCAAAUAUUAUAAAUGCACGAUCAUAACACGACUUGUAAGAUCAUACUUAUUAAUAAAACUCAUAUAAUAAAAAACUCAUAUUACAACUCAAUCCUUAUUUUUUAUAUUCUUGCAUAAUAGGAUAAAUUAGUAAAAGGACCAAUAUUUUAAAGAAUAAAACUAAAAUUUUAAAAAAGCCCACUUUUUUAUAUGCUAGCUAAAUAAAAUAAAUUAGUGAAAUAAUCAUUAUUUUAAAGACUAAAAUUAUAAUGGCAAAAAACUCAUAUUACAGUCAAUUCCUAAAGAACCCAUAUUUUAAAGAAUAAAAAGAUUGUAAAAAUCACAUAUUACACACAACCCAAACCUUAUUUUUCCUAGGGUUGCCCAUUAUGGUUCCUAACUUUUCCCUUCAGUGAUUUCUGUUCCUCUUUUCAUUUCAAACAUGCCAUGGUUGCUGCUUCCUGGAUCUCACAACGAGAACAAGAAGGUUCAAUAUUUUCUUGCUCCAUAUUCCUAUCUUUAUACUUCUUUCACGCAUCUUAUAAAUCAAUAAAAUAAGUUUGACGGGUUGAGGGAGAAGAGAGAUGGAAAAAGCUAGUGGAGAAGAGUGGAUAUGGGAUCGAUGAGACUGUCGAUGUAAUCAAUCUUACACUCCUACAUGGUGAUCUCACACGAUCUUAAGGAGGCGUGCCCAAAACUGAGAUAUGUUUAUUCCAUGUAAUAUAGUUUUCUUCCAUAUUAUAUUAGUUUGAGUUUUUAUGUUUGCUUCCUAUGUAAUGAUCAAUAAGUGUCGUUCUCUUUCAUUUUUCUCUGAAAUUGUCAUAUUCCAUGAGUUUGUAUCUCAUUUCAUCAAUAAAUUAAUACGAAAAAAUUACAAGCAUUAUCUCAUUAGAAAUGUGAUUGUUUGAAAGAUUUUAUAUUUUAUUACAUAUAUGGCAAACCAAAUUUAAACUAGACAUCAAGAAGUAUGAAUACUUGAGGAUUUGAAGUUUUUAUUUUUCAUAACAUAAACAUGAAAAUAACUACAAGAAGAAGUAAUGUUAUUUGAGAAUACUAAACAAAUUUGUUAUAUAUAUUAAUAUAUACAAGAAGGGAUAGCUAACUCACAUAGUCAUGUUGCCAUAUAAGGAUUUAAGAUGUUUAAAAAACAUUUUUAUAUGUGUAAAAGACUUAAAAAAACAAUUAUGUCUUGUAUUUAAAAGUAGUAUGUAAAAUUUUAAAGUAAGGGGAUCCACUUUCUCCAAGAGUAAGUUUUUUAAAUUUAUUCCACAUUCUAGCCAUCAAUUUUAGGGAAAUCCAAUGGUUUAAAUUAGUGAGUAUAUAUAAACCAUUAGAUUUUCCUAGAAUUGAUAGCUAGAAUGAGAAGUAAGUUUAAAAAACUUACUCGUGAAGCCUCACUCAAUUUUAAAUAGUUUUAGUGCAUUUAAUGUUUGAUAGCUAAGAACUCUAUAAGUUUAUUUUAGAAUAUCUAAAAUAUAAUGAGAAAAAGAUAUAUACACGAGUUUUUUAUGGUGUCAGUUUAUCAAUCAUUUAUAUUCAAUAAUAUUAUUGACUUUUAAAUAUAAUAAUACAAAUGAGUAGUGAAUAAUAUAUUAUUUGUGUAUAAACUUUUAUAUUUCUGGUAAGAGUAUAUAGAUAGAGAAAACGACGUAUAAACUAACAAUGUAAGACUUUUUACAUUGUCAUUACAUCAUCCACCAUUCAUUUUUAAUCAUCAUUUACUUUUAAAUAAAAGUUAUACAAAUGAAUUGUGGGUGAUGCACUGACUAUGUAUAAAUCUUUACACUAUUCAGUGCAUAAAUAUUACACUGAUAUAAAUAUUACAUUCCUACAUUAUUCAUAUCACAUUUAUAUGGGUUCGUUUUGUGGCAUAUAGUUCCUCACUAUUCAUCAAAUUAUAGGACCCUGCAAUAAUGAAUUGCUACGCUGAAUUCGGCUUCGGAUGACAACCUCAAGGGGGCUGCAUUAGAAUUAGGAUCGUUUUAUCUUGAAGUCUUGAGCUUUUUAAGUUGUAAUUCGAAUUUGGUGAAUUAUGGGGAAUUUGGGAUUGUUUUGGUGAGGGAAAUGGCAAAGAUUAGAAGGGGCAAGCGCCGCAAGCAAGAAUGUUUGAUAAGCUAGUGUUAUUUGCCACAAGCUAGGAAGCUUGAUAAGAACUUGUUAAUGGUGGCCACAACCAACCUAGGGUUUUUAGGAUAAGUGCUCUCAACUAAAACAACUUAGAUUUAAUCAAAAUUCAACUUAACUUUAUUAAUGACAAUUCAAUUACAUAAAUAAGCAAUCUGAAUGUCUUGGGCUGAAAUAAAAGACUAAGUCCUAAUUAACUUGCAUAAUGAAAAAUCCUAAUUAAAACUUGGGCUAAAAAUAGAUAUGAAAUAAUAAUAUAACCCCAAAUUAAAUCAUGUAAAUGGUUGAAUUGUGGCGGAUUGCUCCUAUUUUUAAGGGAUUUGAAUCUGAUCCAAUUUUAGUUGAUAGGAAAUAGAUUAUCUCCUCAACGAACCAUAUUGAAGAUAUCUUCCCCUUUUUAGCUUUGAUUUAUCCCUUUUGGCCAACCGAAAUGAUGAUAGCUUUCCCUUGAAUUUCUCUAACCGUGUUGCUUGAAGAUAGAUAAGAUUUGACCAAUUUGAAAUAGUUAAAUCUUUUCCCAACCGUGUGGAUUGAUUUCAAUAUAAUUUAGGCAUAGAUAUUUCACUAAAGCUCUUUCCUUAUCUCUAGGCCUUGCCAUUCCAUCAUUGUAGUCGUGACUAGUUACCCUUGAACCUAACUGAAGUACGUGGUCAUGAAUCUGGACCAUGUUAUAUAUGAAUCCCAACCCACAUUACAUGAAUUAAAUACUAACAUUUUUGACAUUAAAUAAACUAUACUCCUAAGACUAUAUGAGAAUGCAAUCUCAUUUAUUUGAUUCAAUGGAAAUAAAAUAAACUAAAUAGAAAGUGACCUACGGACAUAAAUGUCCUUUUCACAUACCCUAUCCUGGGUCAAUUGUAUCCUUUGAGACUUUAAGGACCUCUGCCUUGGCCUUGGCCCUAGUUGUAGGACAAUCAUGACUUCUCUUGAUCUUGGGAUCAAAGGCUACUCUAGGAAGGUUUACAUCAUCCAUUUCGCCCUUCAAGUGAAUUCGUCCUUGAAUUGCCUUCAUUCUUAUCAUUCUUUCUAUCCUUGCCAUGAUCUUUCAAAGAAUGGCUAAGUGUAGAAAACUUUUCAGCCUUGGAAGUUGGAACAAUGUCAAGUGUAGGUUCGGCCAUGAACUUGGCUUUUGCCUCACUUUCCUUCUUUUCUUCUUCAACCUUAGCCCUUAGUCUCUUUUGCUCCUCAUUGACUUGUUUAGGGUUCAGAGGGCCUAACACUACCAUGUGACCAUGGUGUAUAAAUGAGACUUUGUUCAACUAUAUAUAUAUUUAUUAGAAAAUAGCACAACUAACAAACUUUUUAUAUAACAAGAUCUAAGUUUUGUUUAACUAUAUAUUUAUUGUAUCAACAAAAUCUACAAACCAUUUAACCAAUUCAGGUGAUGAUGUUUAUGAAUGAUUGAUAAUCUUCUUGGGCAGGUGGAGAAAUCAAGUAUGUGUUACACAAAAUAGAAUCAAUUGAUGAGGCAAACUUGGGAUAUAACUACAACAUAGUUGGGGGAGUUGGGUUUCCAGACACAGUAGAGAAGAUAUCUAUUGAAACCAAAUUGUUUGAAGGACCCAAUGGAGGAUCAAUUGGAAAGGUCACUACUAACAUUCUAACCAUAGGAGAUGCUCAACCCAAGGAAGAAGAGGGCAAGGCUGCCAAGGCAAGAGUAGAGAUGGCAAUAAAAACUGAACCCGUGGGUACCCGUCCGAACCCAACCCGAAUUUAACGGGGAAAACCCGUUGUGACUGGAUUCGGGUUUGGGUAAAACCCGAUCCCAAUUUUCGGGUUCGGGUUCAGGUUUGGUACAACUAAUACCCUACCCCGAACCUACCCCAAACCUGUUAGAUAUAAUACUAGGCAUACCUAAAGUCCUAAAUUAGAAAUAGAAAUAGUCAAAUAGUAGCCUGCGUGAACACUCAAAGUCUGAAACCUAAAGUCACACUCUCUUCUAUAGCAAGGUGGCAUGCAUAGUGGCAAUCCUCAAGGUGAUUAGGUGAGUCUUUCGUGUUCAUCUUCUUUCAUUAAGUUGAGUGUUUGUAGCCCUAACUCUGAAAGUUUUGGUGAGGUGCUAAUUUCUCCAAUGGCUUCUCGUUACAGAUCUGUUUCACGGCCAGCUUUCUCUCUCAUUAAAUCCACCUUCACUAAACCCUGGAGUUUGAUAUCUUCAAUAACUUUUUGUUGUUUCUUAUCUGUAAGAAAUUUUUGCUCUUCAUGUAUAUCAUUAUAUGUUCUGUUUUACUCUUAUAUUUUGUGUCAAUCCCAUAAAUACUCAUAGCUUUGAAUGUAAAUAGCAUCUUAUCUCUUGGUUCUUCAGAAUUUUGCUUUCGGAAAAUCGGAAUCUGUUUUCAAAAUUGAAUUUUGGUAGUAGAAACAAACAAUAUGGUUUGGGGUUUGGAAAUCCUAUGCUAGCUGGUUAGUUUUUUUUAUUCUCUAGCGUGGAAAAACACUGAUUUUGUCUGAUAGUGGUUUAGGACUUUAGGUUAAGGUAAACAUUGUAAGCUUUUAUUUAUGUAAUCAAGGAGAGUUCUAUGCUGCAAUUGAAAUUUUAUUUAUUGUCAAUGCUCUAUGCUUUCGAGUUUAAGUUAUUCUGGAAGUCUCAACUAUAUCUACCUGUGAAAUUGUAAUGCAUAAUGAAUUCAGUGAUUAAAUAUGUGUUUGCUAAUAUGUGUAAAUCUGUUUUUUUCUUCUAAUUGUUUUAUUAUUUAUUCAAUUAGGGAGAAUGAAUAUAGUAAACAGAACAGAUAUGGAUGUGGUUGGUACCCAACAUGCUUCACAAGGAAGUUUACAACAAGUAAAUGUGGAAGGCACUUCUAAUACUACACCUGAACAAUAUCAUAUUGGACAAGAUGACAAUAUAGAAUCAACAACACAACCUACAUCAAAGAGGCAUAGAAGUGUGGUGUGGGAGCAUUAUGAAAAGAUUAAAGUGGACGGAGUAGACAAGGCUGAGUGCAAAUAUUGUAAGAAAAAAAUCGGAGGGGGUUCAAAGAAUGGAACAAAGCACUUGCACAACCAUAUGGAGUUGUGUGUUCAAAAAAAGAUUAUGAGAGAGGCAAUAACAAAGGACAAUCAUUUCUAAUGCUUAAAGACUCACAAGGUAAGCAAGAGUUAGGAGUUGGAACUUAUGAUGCAGAAAAUACAAAAAAGGAACUCGCGAGCGCAAUUAUUAUGCACGAUUAUCCACUAUCAAUAGUGGACCAUGUUGGUUUUAGAUGGUACUCAGCUUCCCUCCAACCAUUGUUUCAAGUUCCUUCUCGAAACACCAUCAAGAAUGAGAUAUUGAAAGUGUAUGAUUUCGAGAGAGAAUGUCCAAUGAAGAUGUUGGAUAGUCAUGAAGGGAGAGUGGCCAUUACCUCAGAUAUGUGGACCUCAAGUAAUCAAAAGAGGGGUUACAUGGCAGUCACAACUCACUAUAUUGAUUGCUCUUGGACUUUACAAAGUCGAAUCUUGAGGUAAUUAUAUUUAUAAUUCAAUUUAUUUACAAUUUUUCAUGGAAAAAUUAUUGAAUGUGAAUAUUGUUAUUUUAGGUUCAUUUAUGUUCCUGCCCCUCACACUAGUGAUAUACUUUGUCAUGCGCUCGUUGAAUGCUUUAUGGAUUGGAACAUUGACACAAAAAUAUCAACUAUUACUCUAGAUAAUUGUACCACAAAUGAUGAUAUGAUUCCAAAAAUUAAGGAUAAAUUGCGGUUGGGAAAUUUGUUGAGGGAUGGGUCUUUACUUCAUAUGCGUUGUUGUGCACAUAUCCUAAAUUUAAUAGUUAAAGAUGGAUUAAAAGUUGUGAAAGAUAGGAUAGAAAAGAUUCGAGAUAGUGUAGCAUAUUGGAACGCUACACCAAAAAGGAGCGAAAAGUUUGAGGAGACUGCUAAACAAUUGCGAGUUCCUUAUACUAGAAAGUUAAUUUUAUAUUGUCCAACUAGAUGGAAUUCAAAUUACAAAAUGCUCGAGGUUGCCAUAUCGUAUAAGGAUGUAUGUAAUCGGUUAAAUCAAUGUGACACCCAAUAUACUUGUUUGCCAAGUAAUUAACAAUGGUAAUUUGCAGAGGAUGUUUGUGAGCGACUAAAAUUGUUUAGUUCUAUAAUCGAGAUGAUUUCUAGUACUAAGUAUCCAACUGCCAACAUAUAUUUUCCCAAGAUUUGUCAUAUUAAGCUAGCAAUAACUCGGUGGAUUAACUCCUCUAAUGAAUUGAUUAAAAUGAUGGCAGAGAAGAUGAUGGCCAAAUUUGAAAGGUAUUGGAGUGUGAUUCAUGAUAUUAUGGGAGUUGCUACAGUUUUGGAUCCUAGAUACAAAAUGGCAUUACUUGAAUUCUAUUUUGAUAAGUUGUAUGACCAUGAUGCAUUUACACAAGUAAGGAAAAUCCGAGAGUUGUGUUAUGAUUUAGUGUCUGAUUAUCAACAAACAAAAAAUUCGAGUGGAAGCUCUCCAUUGUUAAACAGAACUGUUACUAAUGAUGAACCUUUGGAGGAAUAUGAUGUGUGUAUCGAGAAGAGAAGAGAAAAUAGAAGCUCAAGUGUUAAAACUGAGUUGGAUCAUUACUUGGAGGUGGAUGUUAUAAAAAGAACACCGGAUUUUGACAUUUUAAAUUGGUGGAAGACAAAUGAAGUCAUGUAUCCAACACUUCAAGCAAUUGCAAAAAAUUUGUUAGCUAUUCCUAUUUCUAAUGUAGCUUCUGAAUCAGCAUUCAGCACAAGUGGUCGAAUAUUGAGUCCUCAUCACAAGUGGUUGAAUAUUGAAUCCUCAUCGUAGUCGACUUAAUUGGACUACAUUAGAGGCUUUGAUGUGUGCUAGGAGUUGGCUAUGGUCUGCUGAAAACGCUGGUAAAGUUUUAAAUUAUUAAAGUAUUGAUUCAAGUAUCAGAUUUAAUAUCUUAUAUUAUGUAAUAUAUUUUAUCUUAUCAUUCUUUGUUUUCAAUAUUGCUAGGAAAUUUGAAUUUCAGUUUCGCACAAGAAUAUGCUACUGUUUUAAAUGAAAUGGAGUCUGAUGAUGAAGGUAUUUUACAUUUCACUUGUUUUAAAUUAUUUGUUUAAUGGGUAUAUUUAAUUUUGGUUUUUAAAUCUUAAUACAGCUGAAGUGAUGAAGAGUAGUUUGAGUUAUUAUUUUGAAGAUUAGUAGUUGCUGCCUGAAUGUCUGCUGCAUCCAGAUAUUGAAGAAGACUUAUAUUUUAGUGUACUACAUCUAUGGAAGAAGACUUGUUAAUUGUUAUUGUUACUGAAUUAUGCUAUUGUUACUGAAUUAUUGUUAUUGCUUCAUCGAGAUAUCUAGUGAAUAUUGUUACUAAAUUAUGUGCUUUAUUGGUUGUGGUACUGAAAAUAUCCAUUAUUUAUGGUUGUGGUACUGAAAAUAUGCAUUAUUUAUGUGACAGUGAUGAACCUAGCAUAUGCUAAUUGCCUAAUUCAUAUGAAGACAGUGAUGAACCUUGCAUAUGCUAAUUCAUAUGCUAAUUGCUUAAUUCAUAUGAUGACAGUGAUGAACUUUGAUAUGCUAAUUGCCUAAUUCAUAUGAUAACAGUGAUGCUAAAGUAUGCAUUAUUUAUGGUGACAGUGAUGCUAAAAUGUGUAUAAUACACACUAAUGUUCACUGCUCAGUAUUUAUAUAUUUAUUUGUCGGGUUUACCCGUCGGGUUCGGGCUACCCGAAACCCGAUGGGUUUGGGUUGAUAUUCUUAUUUUCAAUCCCGUUGAGUUUGGGUUCGGGUUCGGGUUUUACAUUUCGGGUUCGGGAUUGGGUAAGGGUAAACCCGACCCCGAUCCGCCCCGUUGUCAUUCCUAAGCAAGAGGCACUACGCCAGAAUAGCAAAACAGCAGCGCUUAAAAUUGUCAUUUAACAGCGCUUUUGAGGCGCUUUCUAUGUGAGUGCAGUAGUACGUAAGGUUAUAUUCAAUAGCGUUUUUUGAAGUGCUCUAGAAAGUAGACAUUUAACAACUCUCACUGAAGCAAACGCUGUUAAAUGUCUACUUUCUAAAUAUGACAAUAUCUCUCAGAUAUUCUAUCAAACACAUGACAAUCAUGUCCAACUCCACCAUAAUUACAAUAGAUUUGUGAAAUCACCAACAACUCGAGCCACAUUCAACCUUAACAUAUUCCAAAACUAUAAAAUAACAUAUUAAUAAUGAGAUCUUACACAAAUUGUUCAUUCUUUCUCCUCCGAUGUGCAAGUCCUUACAGAGUGUUCCUGUGUUCCUCAAUGAUUAAUGCAAGCUACAAAUACAAAUAAAAAAUAUCAUCUCUAAACAAAUUGCAAAUGUUAUAAAAAAAUAAAAAAUUAGCAGCAAUUGAUAAAGAAUAUUUACCAUUACACUCAAACCUUGUGUUCUAACCAGUGAACCAUAACCAAAAUUCUAGAACAUCAUAGCUGCAUAACUUCACAACAAAUAAAGACUUGUUAUUUAUGGUGUAAAUACAAACAUCAAGACUGAAUCAAAAAGAAAUAAAUGAGCUAAAAUAAGAUAAUGAUUUACCUUAUAUGAAGUAUCGUCUUUAACAACGCUUUCUUCAAUAAGAGUUGUUAAAGAUAACACACCUUUAACAACACUUGCUUAAAUAAGCGCGGUUAAAGAUAACACCUUUAACAACGCUUAUUGAAGAAGUGUUGUUAAAUAUAUGAAGUAUGAUCUUUAACAAAUCUUUCUUCAAUAAGAGCUGUUAAAGAUAACACAUUUAACAUCGCUUUCUUCAAUGAGCACUGUUAAUUCUUUUUCCGCCUUAUAUUUAACCACGUUCAACACAUAAGUGUUGUUAAAUACCAAUUCUGGCAUAGUGAGGUGAUAUUUUUUUCAAGGCCAUUGAGAGUUACUUUUCUGCCCAUCCUGAGUACAACUAAAUUGAAUUCUAUCAUUGAAGAAGAGCUUCCUUAUAUAAAGUUUCCUUCCAUGUUAUACAUCUUGUGCUUUUAAGUUUUCCUCCUAUGUAAUGAUUAAUGAUUGUUCCUCUAUUCUCUUUCCUUUUUUUAUGCACAAGUGUGAGAUUAUAUGAGUUUGUAUUUCAUUUCAUCAAUAAAUUAAGACAAAAAAAAUUACAAGCACCUUCACAAUCAUGGUAGUUAAAAUUGAGAUUUUACUUAAGAUUGAGAUGGGUAUGGCGAAAGUAAUGCGAAAGCUUAAAAUGAAUAUUAUGGAUAAUUUUCAUUGAAUUGAUCAAGGCGUGAAAAUCCUUAUUUAUAGUAUAAACUAACUGGCUAACAAACUAAUAAACACAUGUUGUAAAAUAAUUCAACAUGUGUAAAAUGUGUAAAAAGUGUAAAAUGUUGUAGCUUUAUUCUCUAAUAGCCCCCUCAAGCUGGAGGGUAAAUGUAAAUUAACUCCAGCUUGAUCAUUCCAUUUGAUAUUGUGACAAUGUAAUGGAUCGAAAUCUCGAUCCUAACGUGAAUGAAUUUUCUCAAUCACUUGAUCUUGUUGUUGUUGAUCUUAUUGAUCUUGUUAUUGUUGAUCUUGUUGUUGUUGAUCUUAUUGUUGUUGUUGAUCUUGUUGUUGCUGUUGAUCUUGUUGUUGAUCUUAUUAAUCUUGUUGUUUGAUCUUGUACAUAUACUCCUUGAUGACACUUCUUUCUUCGACAACUUCCACUUCUCACAAAGUACAAAGGUGGUGCUGGUUUGGCAUAAUCCAUAGUAGAGGCCAUAGGAAUAGAACAAGGGAAAAAAAUUUUGAUAGAGCAGAACAGAGGAUCUUCAGACAAAUCAAAUAGAAAAUUAUUGCACGAAGUAAAAUGAUUCUCAAAUUCUUCCCUUUUUUCUUCCUUUUUUUUAUUUCUUCAAAAACUUCUCCGCUUUAUGUCGAGUUGGCUAUAACGAUUGAAAAGGUGGCUAUAACGAUUGAAAGCAAAGGAGAUGCUCAACCCAAUGAAGAAGAGGGCAAGGCUGCUAAGCCAAGAGGAGAUGCUUUUUUCAAGGCCAUUGAGAGUUACCUUUCUGCCAAUCCUAAUUACAACUAAACUACUCAACUCUGGCAUCGAAGAAAAGCUUUCUUAUAUAAAAUUUUCAUUCAUGCUAUCUAUUAUGUUUGUGCUUUUAUAUUUGCUUUCUAUGUAAUGAUUAAAAAGUUCUCUUUUCUUUUUCUACAAAAGUCUGAGAUUUUAUGACUUUGUAUCUUACUUCAUCAAUAAAUUAAUACAAAAAAUUUACAAGCACCAUAUUAUUAGAAAUGUGAUUGUUUGAAAGAUUUUAUAUUUUAUUACAUAUAUUGAAAAUCAAAUUUAAGCCAAACAUGAAUUCUUCAAGAUUGGAGAUUUUAUUUUUCAUAACAUAAACAUGAAAAUAACUACAAUAUGAAGAGUGAAUAUGGGAUCGAUGAGAUCGUCGAUUCAACCGACGAUAUGCUCCAACAUGGUGAUCUCACACAAUCUUAGGGAGGCUUGGCCAGAACUGAGAUAGGUUUAUUCCGUGUAAUAUAGUUUUCUUCCAUGCUAUAUUUAGUUUGUAUUUUUAUGUUUGCUUCCUAUAUAAUGAUCAAUAAGUGCUAUUCUCUUUCCUUUUUCUCCAAAAUUGUCAUAUUCCAUGAAUUUGUAUCUCAUUUCAUCAAUAAAUUAAUAUAAAAAAUUAUAAGCAUCAUCUAAUUAGAAAUAUGAUUGUUUGAAAGAUUUUAUAUUUUAUUACAUAUAUCCCAAAUCAAAUUUAAGCUAGACAUGAAGAAAUAUGAAUACUUGAAGAUUUUAAGUUUUCAUUUUUCAUAAGAUAAACAAAAAAUAACUACAAUAUGAGAAGAAGUAAUGAUAUUUGAGAAUACUAAACAAGUUUGUUACAUAUAUUAAUAUACAAGAAUGGAGAGCUAACUCACAUAGUCAUGUUGCCAUAUAUAUAAGGAUUUAAGAUGUUUAAAUAACAUUUUUAUAUGUGAGAAAGACUUAAAAAAACAAUUAUGUCUUGUAUUUAAAAGUAGUAAGUAAAAUUUUAAAUAGUUUUAAUGCUUUAUAGCUAAGAACUCUAUAAUUUUAUUUUAGAAUGUGUUCUAAAAUAUUAUAUGCACGAAUUUUUUACGCUGUAAAUUAAUCACCAACCAUUUAUAUUUAAUAAUAUUAUUGAAUUUUAAAUAUAAGUAAUAUAAGUAAGUAAUGAAUAAUAUAUUAUUUUUGUAGAAACUUUUAUAUUUACAAUAUAUUAUUUUAUAUGACGUUUAUAUGGGUUCGUUUUGUCGCAUAUGGUUCCUCACUAUUCAUCAAAUUAUACGACCCGGCAAUAACGAAUUGCUUCUAGAAUUGAAUAUUUUUCCUGUGAAAACUCAAAUCCACCUUCUUUGACCAACGAUUGAAAUUCUUUACACAAGACCAAAAGCUCUAUUUGUUUUUCAAUCAUAUUCAUACGUGACUAAUGGAACACGAGAAUCAGAGGUUAGAGAAAAAAUUAUAGAACCUUUUUCACCAAAUAAUCACCUAUUAAAAAUUUAUACUCAUUGCCUAAUUUAAAAUUUUAUUAUUCCUUCAAUUAUUUGGUAAUUAAUAAUUAUUUAUUGAUCAAAAGUUGUAUCAUGUUUGUAAAAAGUAUAAUGUGAUAUAUCAUAUAUUUUUGUUGUAAUCCAUCAUAAUCAUAAUUUAAUAAGAGAUUUAAGAGUAAAAUGGUAAACACACGCAUUUAUUUGAAUUUAAAAACGUAGAGAUUAAAAAACCUGUCAUAAAUAAAAAGAUUUAUAACUUUAGCUUUUAGCGGUGGCAUGGAUUUUUGUAAUUUCUAAUUUUACAAAAGUUAUUUAUUAGUCAAAUGAUCACUUCUUUUAAAUUUAAUUAUGUGUCAAUCUCUCAAGCCUUCAUGACAUGUGUCAACCUCUCAUCAAAACUAAAGGUCUCUCAUGACAUGUGUCAAUCUCUCAAUCAAUACUUUCCCUCCAAAACAUGUCAAUCUUCCAUUUUUGUUCAUUGUACAAUUUAAUUUUAAUGAUUAAACAAAAAAAAACUCACUCAUGAUAUGUGUCAAUCUCUCAAGCCCUCAUGACAUGUGUCAACCUCUCAGCAAAACUCAUGAGNNNNNNNNNNNNNNNNNNNNNNNNNNNNNNNNNNNNNNNNNNNNNNNNNNNNNNNNNNNNNNNNNNNNNNNNNNNNNNNNNNNNNNNNNNNNNNNNNNNNUUUCUUCCUUUUUUUAUUUCUUCAAAAACUUCUUCGCUUUAUGUCGAGUUGUUGACAAUGAUUCUUUGUUGAAUCUUGGAAGAUGAAGAUAAUAAUUUUAGAGAAUGUGCAACAUUGACCAAAGACUUCAAGAUGAAGGCUCUGAUACUGUAUGGCGAAAUUGUUGCGAAAGCGUAAAAUGAAUAUUAUGGAUAUUUCUCACUGAAUUGAUCAAGUCAUGAAAGGCCUUAUUUAUAGAGUAAACUAUCUAUCUAACUAACUAGCUAACAAACUAAUAAAUACAUGGUGUAAAACAAUUUAAUUUGUGUAAAAUGAGUAAAAAUGUAAAAAGUGUAAAAUGUGGUAGUUUUGUUCUCCAAUAAUGAGAGUCAUAAAUCAUAAAUGUAUGAUCAUAACACGACUUCUAAGAUCCUAGUGAUUAAUAUAUACUAGGGUUGGCAAUGGGCACAGGUAGUAGAUACCCGCUACCCGUUUCAAAAUAGGAGAGUAUUACCCAUACCCGCCCGUGUGCGGGUAUUCGUGGGUAUUUCUUGGUACCCGUGGGUACAACAGGUACCCGCGAGUUUCCUAUAUUAUAAAUGAAUUNNNNNNNNNNNNNNNNNNNNNNNNNNNNNNNNNNNNNNNNNNNNNNNNNNNNNNNNNNNNNNNNNNNNNNNNNNNNNNNNNNNNNNNNNNNNNNNNNNNNUGCGUUUCUACACAUGUAAUAAAUAAUAUUUGUAGGGCGUUUCACCACUAAACUCAAUACAAUACGUAAACAAAGUAAAAGGAAAAAAUAUAUAUAGUAUAAUGAAUGUUAGAAUAAUGUACUUUUUAUUUUAAUUAAAUAUAAUANUAUAAAUAAUGGGUACCCGCGGGCACGGGUACCAUAAUACCCGUACCCACCCGUAUGUACUACGGAUAUUUUUAAAAACCCGUUUAUAAUAUCCGCAGGUACCCGUUUGUGACCCGUACGGGUUUUACCUGCAGGUACCCACAAGUACGGGUUUUUGCCAUCCCUAAUAUAUACAUAUAAUCUCAUAUAGUAAAAAAUUUCAUAUUACAACUCAAUCCAUAUUUUUUUGACAUGUUUGCAUAAUAGGAAAAAAUUAGUAAUAGGACCAAUAUUUUAAAAAAUGAAACUAAAAUUUUAAAAAGCCCAUUUUUAUAUCCUAACUAAAUAAAAUAAAUUAGUGAAAUAAUCAUUAUUUUAAUGAAUAAAACUAUAAUAGUAAAAGAGCCCAUAUUAUAGUCCAUUCCUAAAGAACCAACAUUUUAAAGAAUAAAAAAAAUUGUAAAAAGCACAUAUUACACAUAACCCAAACCUUAUUUUUCCUAGGGUUUCCCAUUACGGUUUCUAACUUUUCCCUUCAGUGGUUUAUGUUCCUCCUUUCAUUUCAAAUAUGCCAUGGCUAGUGCGUGCUGGAUCUCACGACGAGAACAAGAAGGUUCGAUGUUUUUUUGCUCCAUGUUCUUAUAUUUCUACUUUUUUCAUGCAUCUUACGAAUCAAUAAAAGUGUUGGAUUGAGGGAGAAGAGAGAUGGAAAAAGCUGGUGGAGAAGAGUGAAUAUGGGAUCGAUGAGAUCGUCGAUUCAACCGACGAUAUGCUCCAACAUGGUGAGCUCACACAAUCUCAAGGAGGCUUGGCCAGAACUGAGAUAGGUUUAUUCCGUGUAAUAUAGUUUUCUUCCAUGCUAUAUUUAGUUUGUAUUUUUAUGUUUGCUUCCUAUAUAAUGAUCAAUAAGUGCUAUUCUCUUUCCUUUUUCUCCAAAAUUGUCAUAUUCCAUGAAUUUGUAUCUCAUUUCAUCAAUAAAUUAAUAUAAAAAAUUAUAAGCAUCAUCUAAUUAGAAAUGUGAUUGUUUGAAAGAUUUUAUAUUUUAUUACAUAUAUCCCAAAUCAAAUUUAAGCUAGACGUGAAGAAAUAUGAAUACUUGAAGAUUUGAAGUUUUCAUUUUUCAUAAGAUAAACAAAAAAUAACUACAAUAUGAGAAGAAGUAAUGUUAUUUGAAAAUACUAAACAAGUUUGUUACAUAUAUUAAUAUACAAGAAUGGAGAGCUAACUCACAUAGUCAUGUUGCCAUAUAUAUAAGGAUUUAAGAUGUCUAAAUAACAUUUUUAUAUGUGAGAAAGACUUAAAAAAACAAUUAUGUCUUGUAUUUAAAAGUAGUAAGUAAAAUUUUAAAUAGUUUUAAUGCUUUAUAGCUAAGAACUCUAUAAUUUUAUUUUAGAAUGUUCUAAAAUAUUAUAUGCACGAAUUUUUUACGCUGUAAAUUAAUCACCAACCAUUUAUAUUUAAUAAUAUUAUUGAAUUUUAAAUAUAAGUAGUAUAAAUAAGUAAUGAAUAAUAUAUUAUUUUUGUAUAAACUUUUAUAUUUACAAUAUAUUAUUUCAUAUGACCUUUAUAUGGGUUCGUUUUGUCGCAUAUGGUUCCUCACUAUUCAUCGAAUUAUACGACCCGGCAAUAACGAAUUGCUUCUAGAAUUGAAUAUUUUUCCUGUGAAAACUCAAAUCCACCUUCUUUGACCAACGAUUGAAAUUCUUUACACAAGACCAAAAGCUCUAUUUGUUUUUCAAUCAUAUUCAUACGUGACUAAUGGAACACGAGAAUCAGAGGUUAGAGAAAAAAUUAUAGAACCUUUUUCACCAAAUAAUCACCUAUUAAAAAUUUAUACUCAUUGCCUAAUUUAAAAUUUUAUUAUUCCUUCAAUUAUUUGGUAAUUAAUAAUUAUUUAUUGAUCAAAAGUUGUAUCAUGUUUGUAAAAAGUAUAAUGUGAUAUAUCAUAUAUUUUUGUUGUAAUCCAUCAUAAUCAUAAUUUAAUAAGAGAUUUAAGAGUAAAAUGGUAAACACAUGCAUUUAUUUGAAUUUAAAAACGUAGAGAUUAAAAAACCUGUCAUAAAUAAAAAGAUUUAUAACUUUAGCUUUUAGCGGUGGCAUGGAUUUUUGUAAUUUCUAAUUUUACAAAAGUUAUUUAUUAGUCAAAUGAUCACUUCUUUUAAAUUUAAUUGUUCAAAUAGUUUAUAUUAAUUGUUCCCAUUUCUCAAAACAACAAUUAUAUAUAUAUAUCAAAUUAUGUUGCAAAUGCUAUAUAUCAAUACCUUCUGGUCAAAUUUUGUAUAAAGAAACAAUACAUUUAUUUAUUUUGUAUAACGUAUACUAAUAUAUUUUCAAAUUAUAACAUAUAUAUCAAAAUCAAGGCUCCUAAGUGUACAUCUCGUCACUUUUGUUGACAAUUAUGGCUCUUAUAUAUUAAUAAGUGGGUAGAUAUUAUCCCCAAUAGUGAAAUGAAAAGGAUAGGAGCCCUAAUAACCUCUCUAUUCAGCACCUAUCCACAAUGAGGCAUACAAGCAGAGCUACCUAUAAAUAGAAGGCACUCCUUUGCUCAUAACUCACACAACAACCAUUCUAAUAUCUUCUUCUCAUAUAUUUUUCCAUUAUUCUUCCUCCUUUUACUAAUUAGUUUUUAAGUAUGGGUGUUUUUACAUUUGAGAAUGAAUCCACCUCUACUGUAGCUCCUACUAGGCUUUACAAAGCUUUGGUUGUAGAUGCUGACACCAUCAUCCCAAAAGCCGUUGAAGCCAUCCAGAGUGUUGAAACCGUUGAGGGAGAUGGUGGCCCUGGAACCAUCAAGAAGCUCACUUUGAUUGAGGGUUAGUAUAUUAUCCCAUAUAUCUUCUUCAUGCAUAAGAUAUAUGCUCAUGACAUAUCAUUAUACAAGGGAAAUUUCAGUUUCCUUUUAGUGUUUGUGAUGCUAUUUUUACGCAUGCUAAACUUUUAUUACAAAUACACAAACAUUUAUAGAACAAAGUCUAAGUUUUGCUCAACUCUAUAUAUAUUGAUUAGAAAAUAGCACAACUAACAAACAUUUUACAUAACAAGAUCUAAGUUUUUUGUUUAACUGUAUAUUUAUUAUAUCAACUGUCUAAAAACCAUUUAACAAAUUAAGAUGAUGAUGUUUAUGGAUGUUUGAUAUUUUUAUUGAGCAGGUGGGGAAACCAAGUAUGUGUUACACAAAAUUGAAUCAAUUGAUGAGGCAAACUUGGGAUAUAACUACAGCAUAGUUGGGGGAGUUGGGUUGCCAGACACAGUAGAGAAGAUAUCUAUUGAAACCAAAUUAUUUGAAGGACCCAAUGGAGGAUCAAUUGGAAAGGUCACUAUUAACAUUCAAACCAAAGGAGAUGCUCAACCCAAUGAAGAAGAGGGAAAGGCUGCCAAGGCAAGAGGUGAUGCUUUUUUCAAGGCCAUUGAGAGUUACCUUUCUGCCCAUCCUGAGUACAACUAAAUUGAAUUCUAUUAGUGAAGAAGAGUUUCCUUAUAUAAAGUUUUCUUCCAUGUUAUCCGGUUUGUGCUUUUAAGUUUGCCUCUUAUGUAAUGAUUAAUAAGUGCUCUUCUAUUCUCUUUCCUUUUUUAUGCAAAAGUGUGAGAUUAUGUGGAUUUGUAUUCCAUUUCAUCAAUAAAUCAAUACAAAAAAUUACAAGGACCUUCGUAAUCAUGAUGGUUAAAAUCGAAAUUUUACUUAAGAUUGGGAUGGAGUCAAAUAUCAUAAAUGUAUGAUCAUAACAUGAUUCAUAAGAUUUUAUUAUUAAUAUAUACAUAUAAACUCAUAUAGUAAAAAAUCUCAUAUUACAACCCAAACCUUAUUUUUUGAUAUACUUGCUUAAUAGGAUAAAUUAGUAAAAUGACCACUAUUUUAAAGAAUAAAACUACAAUUUUAAAAAAGCUCAUAUAACAACCCAAUUUCUUUUUGAUAUGCUAGCUAAAUAAAAUAAAUUAGUGAAAUAAUCAUUAUUUUAAAGAAUAAAACUAAGAUGGUAAAAAAGCCCAUAUUAGAGUACAUUCCUAAAUAACCCACAUUUUAAAGAAUAAAAAGAUUGCAAAAUACACAUUAUUACAUACAACCCAAACCUUAUUUUUCCUAGGGUUGCCAAUUACGGUUCCUAACUUUUCCCUCCGGUCGUUUUCAUUCCUCCUUUCAUUUCAAACAUGUCAUGGUAGCUAUAUGUUGGAUCUCAUGAUGAGAAGAAGAAGGUUCGAUGUUUUUUUGCUCCAUGUUUCUAUCUUUCUACUUCAUUUAUGCAUNNNNNNNNNNNNNNNNNNNNNNNNNNNNNNNNNNNNNNNNNNNNNNNNNNNNNNNNNNNNNNNNNNNNNNNNNNNNNNNNNNNNNNNNNNNNNNNNNNNNAUGAGUUGUUUUCUCUCCGAGGCUACAUCACUAACCAGAUGGAUGGCCUCGCCUCUCAGAAUCAACAAAUCCAAUAUGAACUUCAUUGCCUCUUCUCUAGGAUGGAUAGCAUGGUUAUUGAUGAAGACAAUUCGGAGCCUGAGUCUUAGAAUAUUUUUUGUUAGGAUCUUCUGGUUGUAUUAUUUUCAAAAUUUGGACAAAGUUUUAAUUCUGAUUAUUUAUUGUUUUUAAAGAUAUUGCUGCAUAUUCCUGGACAAGUUACUUUAUGAUGUUUUGUGUAUAAUUGUUCCAUGCCUGGAUUCAUAUUUGAAACAUCUUAUUUAUACAUUGCAAUACUUUCUUAUCUAUAUCUUAAUCCAUACAUGAGUAUAUGAUAUCAUAUUGAUAUAUCUUGAUUAUAUAAGUGUAUGUAUGCUAUAUAUAUUGUGCUGGAAUCUCUUUGCUUUUCUACUUUUUGAUGAAGUCAAAAGGGGGAGAAAAGUUGGGGGAAGUGUAUUUUCUGUCAAAUUAUUUCAGGUACAUUACUCCAAAAGAAAGGGGAGCAUACAAGAUAGGGGGCAUACUCAAGUCAAACUUCAACAUAUCUCAAAGUAUGCUGCUCUCAAGAAAACUACACUGUCAAAAGAUCUUGGUUUGUCAUCAUCAAAAAGUGGGAGAUUGUGAAGAUGAUCUUUGCUCCUGACCUCGGCAAGAUUUUGAUGAAGACACCAACAUCACCAAAAAUAAGAAAAGGAAUAUUACUUAUUAAGACCAAGAAGAUUAAAGCUUCAAGAAAAUUAGUCUAAGUCUAAUUAAGUACUUGUAUCAUAUACUCUUUAAUAUACUAAAGUAGUAAUGGUCAAAAUAUUUUAAAAGAAAUUGAAACACUUCAAGUUUUAAAUGAAAACAUUUUUCAAAAUAAUGUGUAACAAGUUACUGAAAUUUGAGUAAUAGGUUAUUGAAAUUUGAGUAAUAAGUUACAUGAGUUAGAAUCAGUUAUCCAACAAUAUUUAAAUUGGAGUAACCGAUUACUCAAAUUUGAGUAACUGAUUACUCUAAGUGAAUUUUGAAUUCAGUGUUGGACAUAGAGUUUGAGUUACCGAUUAUUCAAUGUAAUUUUUCAAAAUGUCACGUUUGGGUAACCGAUUACCCACUUAUUGUAAUCGAUUAUUGAGAGUUGUUACAUCAGUUUUUCAGAUUUGAAACUCAAGGGUUUUCAUCCCAAACAAAAUGCGUUCAUUCCAAACAAUUUCUAUUCUUUCAUAAAGGCACAAUGACUGAUUGGAAAGCCUAUUUAAAGGCCUUAGAACUCACAAUGAAAAAAAUCUUUCAACAACUCUUUCAUAACUCCUUCACACUUUUCUCACAACUUUCCUACACUUUUCUGAAAUAGUUUUCUGAACUUCUAGCAACUUGAACUCAAAUUUUCGAAGUUUUUUUUUUUGACUUGCUUGAAGUAAAGUGUUUUAAAGUUUUGUAAAUUUAAAAGAGCAUUAUUUACUAAGUAUACAAAAGAGUUGAUUGGAUUGCAAAUGUUAUUAUAUUUCAUACUUGUAAAGGCAAUCCAAGACAUCAUUCAAAUUCUUCAUUCAUUGUAAUUACUUUCUUUCACGGGGUGUGAAUAGAAAUGGAAUAGAGUUACUUGGAAAGGUGUUUUCCAAGCUGAUAAGUAUUAGUGAGUGUUUAAGGUACAUAGAGAUCUCGGUGUGAGAUAUUGUAAUUACAACUCAUAAUAUUUAGUGGAAAAUCUCUUGUGCUGCAAGAGUACUGGAUGUAGCCUUCGGUGAACAAGAAGGUGAACCGGUCUAAAAUCAUUGUGUAUUCUCUUCUCCCUUACCUCUUUGAUUUAUUCUUGUUUAUAUUCUGCAAUAUUAUCCGAUGCACUUUAACUCUUCAUUUUGCAGAAAAAGUGGUCAUAAUUUCUAGUCAACUAAUUCACCUCCCCCCCCUCUUAGUUGCAAUCUCAGUCUUACACUAUCUACAAUGGGGCAUACAAUUAGAAAUGCCUAUAAAUACAAGGCACCUAUUUGCUCAUAAAUCACACAACAACAUUUCUAACAUUAUCUUCUCAUAUAUCCUUUCAUUAAUGCUUCUUCCUUUUGCUAAUUAAUUCCCAAGUAUGGGUGUUUUUACAUUUGAGAAUGAAUCUACUUCUACUGUAGCUCCUGCCAGGCUUUACAAAGCUUUGGUUAUAGAUGCUGACAUCAUCAUCCCAAAGGCCAUUGAAGCCAUCCAGAGUGUUGAAAUCGUUGAGGGUAAUGGUAGCUCUUGAACCAUCAAAAAACUUAUUUUGGUUGAGGGUUAGUAUACUAUUCUAUAUAUCAUCUUCAUACAUAGAAUAUAUGUUCAUGGUAUAUCAUUAUAUAUGAGAAAAUUUAGUUUUCUUUUAGUAUUUGUAAUGCUAUUUUAACACAUGCUAAAUUUUUAUUACGAAAAAAGCAAACAUUUAUAGAAGAUGAUCUAAGUUUUGUUCAAUUAUAUAUUUGUUAGAAAAUAGCACAACAAACAAAUAUCUUAUAUAAGAGGAUCUAAGUUUUGGUUAGUUGUAUAUUUACCACAUAAAUAAUUGAGUAAGCCAAUUAAUUUGUUGAUGUUUAUGGAUGUGAUAUUCAUAUUGAGCAGGCGAGGAAACCAAGUAUGUGUUACAUAAAAUAGAAGCAAUUGAUGAGGCCAAUUUGGGAUAUAACUACAGUAUAGUUGGAGGAGUUGGGUUACCAGACACACUGGAGACGCUAUCAAUUAAGACCAGAUUGGUUGAAGGAGCCAAUGGAGGAUCAAUUGGAAAGGUGACUAUAACGAUUGAAAGCAAAGGAGAUGCUCAACCCAAUGAGAAGAAGAGGGCAAGGCUUCCAAGUCAAGAGGAGAUGCUUUUUUCAAGGCCAUUGAGAGUUACUUUUCUGCCAAUCCUAAUUACAACUAAACUACUCAACUCUGGCAUUGAAGAAAAGCUUUCUUAUAUAAAAGUUUCUUUCAUGCUAUAUAUUAUGUUUGUGCUUUUAUAUUUGCUUUCUAUGUAAUAAUUAAUAAGUUCUCUUUUCUUUUUCUACAAAGUGUGAGAUUUCAUGAGUUUGUAUUGUACUUCAUCAAUAAAUUAAUACAAAAAAAUUACAAGCACCAUAUUAUUAGAAAUGUGAUUGUUUGAAAGAUUUUAUAUUUUAUUACACAUAUUGAAAAUCAAAUUUAAGCCAAACAUGAAUUCUUCAAGAUUGGAGAUUUUAUUUUUCAUAACAUAAACAUGAAAAUAACUACAGUAUGAUGAAAAGAAGUAAUGUUAUUUGAGAAUACUAAACUAGUUUGUUGUAUAUAUUUAAUAUAUACAAGAAGGGAGAGCUAACUCACAUAGUCAAGUUGCCAUAUAAGUAUUUAAGAUGCUUUAAAAACAAUGUUAGAUGUGAAAAAGACUUAAAACAAUUAUGUCUUGUAUUUAAAAGUAGUGAGAAUAAUUUUAUAUAAUAAAUUUAUGAGGGUGAAAAUGAGGAAUGGCUAUGCAUGCUAUAUAAGAAAAGGUGGAGACUAACUUGUGAAUUUCAAGUUAGUUUGCGUCAAUGUGAACUAGUUUUUUGUCGUUGGAUCAAAUGAGUUUUAAUCUCACCCAUCAAAUUUGUGAUUGAUUACCAUUUUAGUAUAGAAAUCGUGAUCCAGCAAUAUGACUUAUGUUUAGUAUAGAAGUCAUGAUCUAGCAGUACGACUUUUGGUAGUUGGGAAGUCAGUAUACACCAUAACGACUUCAAUUAGUUUGGAAGUUGUUUUGCAGAAGUACUACUUUUGUGUACCUUAGAAGCCUGAUUGGUACAAUACGUCUUUUGUGUAUCUUAAAUCUAAGUUGACAAGUAGAUUAUUAUUUCUAAGUUUCAAUGAUUCGAGAUAAAUACAAAUUGAUCUCAUGGUUUAUGAGUUCUGACAACGUACAAUAGUAUUUAUUUUGUUGAAUAAGAAUUAUGUUUUGAACACAGCUUAGUGGGUCAUUUCUCUCCCAUGAUGUUCUACUGGUAUUAGAAACUUGGAAUUUUAUUUUAGAAAACACAUGUAAAAGUCGUACUUUUCAAAGACGACUUCAACAAGAAAGUCGUACUUCUCAAAAACGAUUUCAACAAGAAAGUCGUACUUCUCCAAGACGACUUCAUCAUGACCAGAAGUCAUCUUACACCAUCACGACUUCUACACUAAAAUUAUAUCAUGCCAUCACGACUUCUAAAAGUUUUCCAAAACUGUAUCCAGUUAUCAAAAAUUUUCAUCCAACAGCUAAUAUGCAGUUCGCUUCAAAUCGAAUUAAGAACUCUAUAAGCUUAUUUUUAAAUGUUCUAAAAUAUUAUGAUAAAAGAUAUAUAUAUAUAUAUAUAUAUAUAUAUAUAUAAAGUUUUUUAUACUACCAAUUCAUCAUCAACCAUUUAUAUUCAAUUAUAAUAUUAAUUUUUAAAUAUACAUAAUACAAAUGAAUAGUGAAUAAUAUAUUGUCUAUUCAUAAAUAUUUAUGUUUCCACUGAAUAUUUCAUUCUAUAUUAUUCCAUAUGACCAUUUAUAUGGGUUCGUUUUGUAGCAUAUAGUUCCUCACUAUUCAUCAAAUUAUACGACCAAGCAAUAAUGAAUUGCUAGAAUAAGGCUUCUAGAAUUGAAUAUUUAUCCUUUGAAAACUCAAAUCCACCUUCUUUGACCAACGCUUGAAAUUCUUUACACAAGACCAAAAGCUCUACUUUUUUUCAACUAUAUUCAUACGUGACUAAUGGAACACGGGAAUCAGAGGUUAGAGAAAAACAUUAUAGAAAUUUUUUCACCAAACAAUCACCUAUUAAAAAUUUAUAGUCAUUGCCUAAUUUAAAGCAUUAUGUUUUUCAUUUCCUUCCAAAUAACAGACUGUGUAUUAAUAAUUUUAUCAAAUAAAAUGGAACCGUUUGUGCCUGUUUAUAAAUUUUAAUUAGUAUUGCGCGGAAUGCAUGUGUUUUUCUUUGAUAUUAUUUUUUUAUUCAAUUAUUUAGUAGUAAAUAAUUAUUUAUUGAUCAAAAGUUGUAUAUUGUUUGUAAAAAGUAUAAUGUGAUAUAUCAUAUUUUUUAUUGUAAUCCAUCAUAAUUUAGUAAGAGAUUUAAGAUUAAAAUGGUAAGUACAUGCAUUUAUUUGAAUGUAAAAACUUAGAGAUUAUAAAAACUGUCGUACCUUUAGAUGUAGCAUGGAUUUUUGUGAUUUCUAAUUUUACAAAAAUUAUUUAUUGGUCAUAGGAUCACUUCUUUUAAUCUUGAUUAUUCAAAUAAAAUCCAAUUAUAUAUAUAUAUAUAUAUAUACCUUCCGUCAAAUUUUGUAUGAAGUAAUAAUACAUUUAUUUAUUUUGUAUAACAUAUACCAAUAUAUUUACAAAUUAUAACAUAUAUAUCAAAAUGAUGGCUCCUGAGUGUGCAUCUCGUCCCUUUUGUUGACAAUGGGUAGAUAUUGUCCCCAAUAGACAAAUGAAAAGGAUAGGUGGCUAACAACCUCUAUAGUCAGCACCUAUCCACAAUGAGGCAUACAAGCAGAGGUGCCUAUAAAUACAAACACUCCAUUGCUCAUAACUCACACAACAACCAUUCCAACAUCUUCCUCUCAUAUAUCUUUGCAUUAUUCUUCCUCCUUUUGCUAAUUAAUUUUCAAGCAUGGGUGUUUUUACCUUUGAGAAUGAAUCCACCUCUACUGUGGCUCCUGCUAGGUUAUACAAAGCUUUGGUAACAGAUGCUGACAUCAUAAUCCCAAAGGCUGUUGAUACCAUCCAAAGUGUUGAAACCGUUGAGGGUAAUGGUGGACCUGGAACCAUCAAGAAACUCACUUUGGUUGAGGGUUAGUAUAUUAUUCCAUAUAUCUUCUUCAUCCAUAAGAUAUAUUAUUAUACGGGAAAAAUUUAGUUUUCUUUUAGUGUUUGAGAUACUGUUUUUAAGCAUUCCAAACUUUUAUUACAAAAAAACAAACGUUUAUAUCAUUAUAGCAUAACUAACAAAUAUUUUAUGUAAGAAGAUCUAAGUUUUGUUUAAAUGUGUAAUUAUUAUAUCAACAAAAUCUACAAACCACUUAACCAAUUAAGGUGAUAAUGUUAAUGGAUGUUUGAUAAUCUUAUUGGACAGAUGGGGAAACCAAGUAUGUGUUACACAAAAUAGAAUCAAUUGAUGAGGCAAACUUGGGAUAUAACUACANNNNNNNNNNNNNNNNNNNNNNNNNNNNNNNNNNNNNNNNNNNNNNNNNNNNNNNNNNNNNNNNNNNNNNNNNNNNNNNNNNNNNNNNNNNNNNNNNNNNUGGGUUGCCAGACACGGUAGAGAAGAUAUCUAUUGAAACCAAAUUGUUUGAAGGACCCAAUGGAGGAUCAAUUGGAAAGGUUACUAUUAACAUUCAAACCAAAGGAGAUGCUCAACCGAAUGAAGAAGAGGGCAAGGCUGCGAAAGCAAGAGGUGAUGUUUUUUUCAAGGCCAUUGAGAGUUACCUUUCUGCCCAUCCUGAGUACAACUAAAUUGACUUCUAUCACUGAAGAAGAGCUUCCUUUUAUAAAGUUUACUUCCAUGUUAUACAUCUUGUGCUUUUAAGUUUGCCUCCUAUGUAAUGAUUAAUAAGUGCUCUUCUAUUCUCUUUUUUUUAUUAUGCAAAAGUGUGAGAUUAUAU